Molecule: long non-coding RNA, 58356 nt
Filed under: Brachypodium distachyon (stiff brome)
Lineage: Eukaryota; Viridiplantae; Streptophyta; Magnoliopsida; Poales; Poaceae
Description: long non-coding RNA (BDIS_LNC002531)
Rfam family: MIR1120/MIR1122 microRNA precursor family (bases 2022-2157)
Source: RNAcentral
CAGCCACUUCGUCGAGGACUGGGUCAGGAUCGGGUUCCCGGCCAAGAAGAAGGUGCAGACCGAGUGCGCCUCCAUGCCUUUCGAUGACCAAUGCGCCGUCUUGGAAAAGGUUCGUACGACCACAUGAUACUUUGUGAUGACUUGGCCACUGCUGGAAUACUCGAACUAUAUAUUCUGCUGACUUGCUGUGCUGACGAAGAAAAUAUUCUGGGAUUUCUACAGGAGGCCGUGAACGUGUCCCUCGAGAACCUCAAGACCUACCCGUUCGUCAAGGAAGGCGUCGCCAACGGAACCCUCAAGCUCGUGGGCGGCCACUACGACUUCGUCUCCGGCAAGUUCGACACAUGGGAGCUCUAAGUCCUCUCAUCCGGUUAACUCCUAUACAUACAACGUAUACUUAUACAUACAGAUAUGGAGAUGACCCUACAGAUCGAUCCAUUGAUGUGGAUGCGAUGCCAUGGAGUAUAUGUACUCGCUAUUUUCCAGUACUGCAUGCCGGAUGGCUCGAUGUGAAUUUGUAAUAAGCAAUAGAAGUUUCUACCAUUUUCUGACGUGGGGUUGUACUUGUGAUGCGUAAUUUGGUCAUCUUGUGACCAAAAGACAUCAACUAUAUAAUUAUAAUACCAUUUUCAUCAAGACUCUGUAUUUGUGUUACAUUGAGGGGUUUUAUAGGUACUCCAUAAAGACAGAUGAUAGUACCAUUCAAAUCUAACCCUCCAUUUAAUAGAAUAUAUUAGACAUUAUAUUCUUCCCUGCCGCAACCGUCUCACGAUUGGAACGGAAUAUAUUCAACAUUUAUUCUUCAAAUAUAAGUGCCGGGUAACUAUCCUCUUGACUGCCAUUUGACACUUGAUUAAACUCAUGGUACUACGUAUGAUUUGUAUAUUGGAACUUGUACUUGGAGCGAAAUGGAGAUUAGUUUGGUUGGAUGAUGAUCCAUUGAAAAUGUCACUAUGAUUUUAAAAAAGUUAGACCCUUUUUCUAGAAGUAUCCCCUCGAAGUCUUAGCUUUGUCCGAAAUCAAACUUUUACAGAGCUUAUAGAAAUAUCUACUAAUUUUUACAACUUUAAAUUAGUUAUAUUAAAUUGAUCAUGAUAUAUAUUUUCAUAGUAUAAUUAUUUGAUAAUAUAGAUGUUGAUGAAUUUUAUAAACUUGGUCAAAUUUUAAGAAAUUUGAUUUAAGAUAAAGUUAGAAUUUCUUACAUUUAGGAACGGAGUACCUUUAUGGCUCGAUGUGAAUUUGUAAUAAGAAAUACAAGUUCUGCCGCGGAGUUGUACUUGUGAUGCCUAAUUUGGUGUCUUGUGACCAAAAGACAUCAGCUAUAUAAUUAUAAUACCAUUUUCAUCAAGACUUUGUAUUUGUAUUACAUUGAGGGGUUUUAAAGGUACUCCAUAAUGACAAAUGAGAGUACCAUUCAAAUCUAACCCUCCAUUUAAUAGAGUAUAUUAGACAUUAUAUUCUUCCCGGCCGCAACCGUCUCACGAUUGGAACGGAAUAGAUUCAACAUUUAUUCUUCAAAUAUAAGUGCUGGGUAACUAUCCUCUUGACUGCCAUUUGACACCUGAUUAAACUCAUGGUUUGCAUGUUGGAACUUGUACUUGGAGCGAAACGGAGAUUAGUUUGGUUGGAUGAUGAUCCAUUGAAAAUGUCACUUUGAUUUAAAAAAUUAGACCCUUUCUUCUAGAAGUAUCCCCUUGAAGUCUUAGCUUUGUCUUAAAUCAAACUUUUACUGAGUUUAUAGAAACAUGUACUAAUUUUUACAACUUUAAAUUAGUUAUAUUAAAUUCAUCAUGAUAUAUAUUUUCACAGCAUAAUUAUUUGAUAAUAUAGAUUUUGAUGAAUUUUAUAAUCUUGGUCAAAUUUUAAGAAAUUUGAUUAUACAGUUAGAAUUUCAAACAUUUUUAGGAACGGAGGUAUACAUGAUUAAUUAGUGAACCUACGAGACUUUUGUUCUUUCUUGCUAUCAUUUUAUAUCUUGCAAUGAGGCUUAUUUGACCAACACAUGCACCCAAAUUGCAAAACAUUUAGUCCCUCUGUCCAACAAAAGAUGUUUCAAAUUUGUUAAAAUUUGGAUGUAUUUAAAGAUCACUCAGUGUAUAGAUGCAUUCAAAUUUAGUCAAAGUUGAGACAUUCUUUGUUGGAUGGAGGAAGUAUUUCUUUUUGAGUAACCGGCGGAGUCGCUGUCCUCCAAUUAGAAGAAAUAGAGUAAGUUACAUAUAUUUGCAAAUGGCCAAAAAUUUGGGGCAGGACUGGGCCCCACACAAUGGUUGGAAACUAGAUAGUUGUGCACGCGAAUGUCCCCUAAAGCCUGGCCAACCACCUUGCGUAGGUUUGCUUUGCGCCAUUGCAGCAUCGAAACUUAAUUUGACAGUUCCUCUCCUUCCAAUACAUUGGGGCCUUCAGUUCGAUGGGGUUUCUAGAUUUUCCCUCCUAAGAAAAAAAAAAGGCUAAGUUGGGGAGAGCUACUUGGCGGACCUCCGUUGGGAAGUAUUUUGGCGAUCAAUUCCGACCAGCCCAAUUUGGUUGUUGGGACCCAAAAAAAUCUCCUACGUUUUCUUUUCAUUCUCUCUACUUUUUUUUUCUGAACUUCUAAUUUUGUAAACUAUUUUUUUUUGAACUUCCGAUUUUCUAAACUUUUUUUCUGAACUUCCAAUUUUCAGAAAUUUGGAAGAGCUUUUUAGUUUUCCGUGAACUUUCAAUUUUUUUGACAACACUGGCUUUCUCGAUCUAGUGGAAAUGUGGAAUCACCUCGUGAGACCCGGCCCGCUGGAUGUGCAUUACUAGCUAGAUGAGGGACGAUGCGAAUCAGGCGAGAGGUGCAGGCGGAUUGGAUGAAGCAAUGGAAAAUCGAACUGUCAACAUCUAAGGGAUCAGCGUAGAGAGUAGAGACCGAGGUCUGCCAUGGGCCAUGGCAUGGAGCUUCGCUGGGACUGGGAGAGGGGCAGAGGGAUGGAUCAGUUUUCUCACCACUACAAAAAAUAUGCUGAUUUAUGACCCCCCAUUUUCGUCGCAAAAUCGUCAUGGUUUUCAGUUUAUGACGCUCUUGUGACGAAAGUCAGAUCGUCAAAAAGUGAUCGUCGCUAACGACGCUUUAUGACAUUUUUACUGAAAUGGUCCUAAAGAAUUAUGACCAAAUGGGAUCGUCAUACAAUUUAUGACCAAAUUUUUGGUCACUAGCCAUCCUACCCGGACACGUAGGAUCCGACGUGGCGGUCUGACAUGGCAAACUCUAUGAUGAAAUUAUAUGGUCAUAACACAAAAUAAGCCCAGUCCAUGCAUGUCUUCUGUCUGGGCCAAGCCCAAUAGUUUAGCCCUUUAAUUUUUUUUCUUUAAUGGGCCAAGUCCAACAAUUCAGGCAUGUACGUUUUUGUUAUUAAUUUCUUUUAGGCCAAUUCUUUUCUAAUUUCCGGUCGGGUUCUUACGCCGUCCAGACGUUUUGCGGACCAAAUAUUAUUUUUUUCAUUCUCGACCUUUUAUUCGAUUCCAGUUUUUUAGCCAUCAACUCGUAAGGUCCAGUACUAUGUUCAGCUAAAAAUUGCUAAGAGCCAACUCUCCAGUGACAAAAUAAUACGACCAGAUUUUCAGAUGAACGCACAAAUUCAUUCCUCUUACAUCACACCAGAACAUAUUUCUAGCAGCAACAGAGCGCAAGGCAAGUCUUCAAUCUAAAUCUUCGACGACAGCAUCCAGAACUUGUGUUCGACUAUAUCAACUAAGGCUUCUAUAUCAUCCUACAACAUAGGAUAAGAUAAUUAGUAAACAUUUUGAUUUCAAUCAGCCAAAAAAUGCAACAUCUUGAAAUACCAUCAAUGGUACACCACAACAGUAGAUUAACCACAAUAUCAAAGUCUAUAGAAGCAUGGAAAGAAAAUAAACAUGCAUGCUAAUUAAGUUAGAUCAAUACUUCAAUAGCAUCCAGAUGCAACUAUUUGAUUGGCUUUGACAUGCAGCAGCUAAUAACGUCGUCAAUUACUUACUAAUAAUCAGCUAUUUGAUGCAAACCUAGAACAGAGAUAUUUGGUUGUCUUAAUUAUAGACAAAACUACUAGGCCAGCCUACUUUUGCACACCCCUAAGUACAUAAUUUGUGAUAAACAAAACUAGCAACAGCAUAGUUGCUCCUUAGAAAGCCAUUCCGCAUUCCAUGCUUAUACAAAGGAACUAUUCCACAACAUGGUAAAAAGAAUUACAGCAUGCAAUAUUUAGAUAUAGUUGAACAACAAUUAUAUAUCAACUGCAGAACCUACACAAUAAUAACCAGCCAAUAAAAUGCCAUUAAAUUAGAAUUAUAAUUUUGUACUGCGCAAAGAUGAAUGCUACAAACUAAUGAUAAUAUCAAAUAGAAGCAUUAAGUUGAGUUCAAUAGUGAAUGAAAAUUAACUAUCCAUCAACAAUGAAACUGCGGCUAAGAUGUUCAAAAUCAACCAUGAAGUGUUCGCAAUGGCGAAGAUCAAGAUAAUAUGGUGUUUACUCUUUGUCAGUUCAGAACAGCUAAAACAAUUCUGCAGGAUAUUUCUCGACUGACUAUCUAUAUAGCUUUGGAGAUUUGCAUACAUAGUGACUUGGAUCAGAUUCCCUGCUAAGGUUUAGGUUUGCAAAUAUUCAGAUAACUAGCGGUACAUGCAUAAACAAUCAUGCUAUACAAUAUAGUCCGCGUCUAGUUAGGUGCAUGUGUUGAAAAACGAACAUAAGGGAACAACAUUAUCACGAAUCAUUUUUAUCAGCUUCUGUAUGAAGGAAAAUAGUACGUGUGCCCAAAGGAAAGAAAAGGGAUAGAAGGAAACGCAGGAGGGGCAAAGGAGAGCGAACCGCCUUGCAGAAGUUGACGAUGUCGACCUCCAGAAGCGGGCGCUGGCGGGCGAGGAUGGAGGCAGUGGCGUCGACCCAGUUUGCUACACCGUCUUAGAUGUGGGUGUACCGCUCGGCGGAGACGCCGCCGUCUCCAACGAGUACGAGCGCCCUGCCGGAGAAGCCGACGUCUCGCACUUGUGCGCGCCGCUCGUCGCAGAAGCCGCCACCUCUCAUGUGUGCGCUCCGCUCGACGGAGACGCCUCCGACUUGGACGAGUGGGCGACGCUCGCCGGAGAUGCGCAGGACGGCAGAUCCAGCGGCGUCGAGGCCUGGCGGAUGAGAGAGAGGGCUCGGAUCUGAGGAGGGGAAAAGGGUGGAAUGAAUAGCGCGGUGGAAGAUGGAGGGUAAUCGAGCGAGCGGAUCUGGGUGAAGGGGGAGGCCUGGCGGCGGGUGAGGGAGAGAAGAUGGGAGGAAGGGAGCAGGAGUUAGGUUUAGGUUACAACUCGGUACUCUUCAAAUAGAGACAGGAUUUGGGCCGAGGAGAUGUAUGGCCGACCCAAAACAAUAAAAGAGAAUAUCAGUUGGCCCACCCGGCGACCUGGCCCAUGUCCCACGGGAGCCAACCCAGGCGAGCACUCCUGUCCUGCUGUACGGUGAAAAGAUCGAUCGAUGGCUUUAUAGCGAUAAAAAGAACUUGCGAACGUAAAUAUCACAAACACUUGAUCUUUCUGGCGGCAAUCCUCUUGCACUGCUCUGGAACAAGUCCUCUGUUCGACUACCCAACGGAGCGACUUGUUUUUCCUUCGGUAGAAUAUAUAUGUUCUACUUGUAGUUGGUGGUUGCUAGGUCCCACUGGUCAGGCGGGUGUCGAGACGGAGAGUUGAGGUAGGCCCCACUAGUCAGUCAUGUUGGGGUCUGUGUUUGGGUCCCACUAGUUAGGCGGGUGGUGGAGUUGACGUGGGCCCCACUAGUCAGUUAGGAUGGGGCCCAUGUGUCUCGGUCCCACUAGUGAUCAGGUGGACGCGGGCCCCGCUCGUCACGCGGUGUGGAGGGUCCAUGUGUCUGGGUCCCACUGAUCAGGCGGGUGCGGGUCCCACUUGUCAGGCCGCGGGGAGGAGGUCCCACUUGCCAAACGGUGGGGGAGGUUCAUGUGUGUGGCUGUGUCAUCAGGUCGGUGGGAGCCGACUGUUCAAAUGGGGCCCACAUGUCAGAAUUGAUAUUGACACCUAGGCACGACACGCUGGCAAAAUUGCUGAGAUGGACCUCUCUCAAUGACACCUAGACAGAUGCGUAGGCAAAAUUGAUGAGGUGGCCAUUCAAUUAUAUCAAUGUCAUUUUUUGACCAUCUAAAAUGGUCAUAAUGAAUUAAAAAUAACAUUGUAAACUGCACUAGUUAUUUAUGACCAUUUUGUGCAAUGUAAUUAUGACCUUUUAGAUUGAAAUGGUCAUAAAUAUUUAGGAUCUAGAGUCUCUUAAACACUCUAUGACCAUCUGGUCCAAAAUGGUCAUAAAUUUUUGACCAUUCGAAUCAUCGUCACUAAAAAAAGUUCAUAAAUCAACACAUUUCUUGUAGUGCACGAAUAAAAAAACGAAGUGGCCCAAAAGGAGAAACUGACGGUGGGAUGAAACCAGGAGUACUGGUGUGAACUGAGCCUAUCUCAGGUGGUCUGGUUCCUUGUGGUGGAACCAGCCCAUCCAGGUUCAAGUUCUAGACUUGACAUGGGUGUCACAUUUCCUGGAUUAUUCCAAGAUUUAACCGGCUCUAUUCUUUCAGUGGUAGGUGACGUACCCGUCAACGGCGAGGCGCCAGCGGUAACUUCGUCAAUCUCUCAGGCUCUACCGGCCCAGUCUUUCGGAAAUGCUCAUAGGGGUAGGGUGUGCGUGUGUGCAUUCAUAGGGAUGAGUGUACGCCCGUGUUGUGAGCGUCUGCGUUUGUACUGCGUUUCUGAAAAAAAAAAAAAACAGAAGUACCGAUGGGAGCAAACCUACGGAGCAGGCAAGCCCCAUCCGUUUCUGAAAACCUUCAAUAAUCCAUAUGUUGAUCCUGGAAUUGCGCUACCCGUUCAAAUCCGAAGAAGGAAAUUUUAGUAACUUCCCUUCGUAAUGCCCUCCGAAUUUAUGUGCGACCCCUUCGUAUUGUUGCAACAAAUUCGGAUAGGCAUCCGCUUCUGGUACAACAAAUUCGGAGAUAGAAUCCACGUCACCGAGGCCGAGGGUUUUAGUUUCAACUCUGCCCAAUGUAUAGGCUCUGGUACCAAACGAAAAUCGUUCCCGGCGGCUGGUCCAGGCAGCGAACCUAGGGCGCCGUUCCGCGGAGAAGAUCGAAGAUGGGUGGCUGCUGCUGCUGCUGCUUCCCCGCCUCCGCUAAACCCAGGAGAGAGAACCCAAUGCACCCGGCCACGGAGUCACUCAUCCAGCGGAAUCCGGAUCACACGGUUCCACAUCAUCAUCCGCCCCAGGAGGUCAAAAACACUGGCAAGGUCGGACUCUCUUUUCUUAUCGUUCUUGGUUCUUGGAAUCUGCAUGCCUGGUGCACUAUGAGGUUCUCGUGGUUGCCCGUGAUCUUACAAUCGUCGCUUGCAGGGCACGAAGGCUGCCGUACGGUUGAAGACCGGGUUCGAGCGUUUUAAGACGACUAUCUACGAGUAUGUUCUGACGCCCAAAGAAUAUGUGUUUCUGACUCUUGGCAGAACUACUUGUACUUAGCUGAAUUUGCUGUUGUAUGUAUGGUCGUGGUUGGUACUUGGCAGCAAGAAUCUGAAGCUGUUUGAGCCGCUCAAGACCAGCCAGACCCCCAAGGUACGUGCCACCUCUCUGCUCUGUUGUUCAAACUUCAAAGUGGACAGUGUGUACUCUCGUGGGAUACUGUCUUUACUUAGCAUUCUGGUAGUUCUGUAACUUGUGAAGCUUGUGAGCAAAUUUGGAACGUAUGGUAUGUGUAAAUAUUCUGGUAGGGUAUGCUUCACCUUCAUGAUUCACUUUCGGGCUACCUACGCUAUGAAUUCGGGUCAAAUUCAGGAAACCUGAGGGGGGCAGCUUUGUCGCCCAUACAUGGGCAAUUGAGCGAUUGCUGUACACGAGAUAACAAGAGAAGUCUGAUACCUGCUGAUGCGCUGCUGACAUAUGUUAAAGGCCUGGUUGCCUACAGCACUUUGCUUAAUUUCGUUCUUGCUUGCAGUACAUGGUGUUCGCAUGCUCUGACUCGCGCGUGUGCCCAACAUUAACCCUCGGCCUGCAGCCAGGAGAGGCGUUCACUGUCCGAAAUAUUGCGGGCAUGGUUCCUGCCUACCAAGAGGUUCUUGCUUAUAUAAAUCAUUUCACCUUUUAUUUUCAUGGACAAGUUAGUCACCUUGGAUUGUGCAGCGCGUUUGAGAUGUAAACAACUAAGCUGUACAUUUGCAUGUUGAUUGCAGAAAAGGCACUGCAGCAUUGGGUCAGCCAUUGAGUUUGCCGUGGUUGUCCUCAAGGUCACUUCUUCCUUGUGUUUUUUUAAUGUCUUUUCAAACAGAAUUUUGUUUAAGAAUACAACUGGAUGUACUAUUUAUGCGCUCUCUCAUUAGGCAAUAAAAAUUGUACGCUCCCUCAUAGCAAUAUUGGCAUGGUACCAUCCUUAAGUAUCAUGACGAUAGUUUAUAAAAUUCAUCAUCUGCCAAAUGGUUUUAAUAUGUAAUAACAGUAAUAUCUCAUAUCAUAGUUUGUCGUGUUCGAGAAAAAAGAUCAUAGUUUGUCAUUUCGAAUUGGUAUGGUUUACAGACCUCCGUCAGAUAUGUUGCAGUCACCUAUGAAUGCGGAAACAGAUUUACUGGAUAAUUUUGGCAAUAAUACUUUAAAAUGACCUAACCUUGCACUGCUACUAAUGAUCAAAGUUGAAUUCGUAUACUUUCCAUGAAACCACAAGUUCAUAAGUAUCGAUUUGGCAGGUUGAGUGCAUUGUUGUGAUGGGUCAUAGCCGCUGUGCUGGAAUCAAGGAACUCCUCUCUCUGAAAGCAGACAGACCUCACGCCUAGUAAGUAAAUGUCUCCCGUGCUUGUUAGUAUGUACUGAAAUCAAACAUAUCUGUUGGACUCGAUCCUAACGUAUCCAGUGCUACCAUGGCUGGGGACGCCGCCGUGCUCCCAAGCCUCGGCAUCUUACAAAAACGUUGAGAAAAAAUCAUGAAACUUUUUGUGGAUUGACACAAGAUGUAUCUGUAAACAUGUAAGAUUUCAACUCCAAAUUCAGUUCAGAGAAGCAAGAAAGGGAAAUUAAAUUCUGCGAUGAAUAGUAUUUUUGUUAGCUGUGUCUUUCCUUUACCAUUGCAAAAUUUACUCGUCAAUUUAUUGAUUUUUUGUGACCUUUCUGUCACGCUGCUGUGGCUUGUGGCCAUGGUAGCACUAGAUAUUUUUGUCUCCUGUAAAACGAGCCCCGGAUGGCUUCAGCAAUAAGUUGUCGUGUCAUUCGUUUUUAUUGAUCUUCAUUAUUUGUCUGGUUACUUAGUCACUUCAUUGAGGAUUGGGUCAAGGUCGGCAUGAACGCCAAGAGGAAGGUCCUGAGAGAAAACCGGUUGUUGCCUUUCGACGACCAAUGCACCGUGCUGGAAAAGGUGUGGUUGCUUAAACAUUUUGCUGAAUUUCCUGUUUAAGCAGAUUGGCUUGCAUCUUGUAAAUAUCCACUGUACAAUUCAUUUGUAGUUGGCUUCACAACCAGAUAAACGCUCAUUUUAGCAUUUGUGAAUUGUGUGCAGGAGGCCGUCAAUGAGUCCCUUGCAAAUCUCAAAUCCUACCCGUUCGUCAAGGAUAGAUUGCGCAAGGGCACACUGAGUCUGCUUGGUGCCCGCUACGACUUCGUGAACGUCAGCUUGGAGACGUGGAAUCCCUGAAGUCAAAUGGUGCAGAAAUGGUUAGCUAAGGGCUAAUUGCACAUACCUGUGCGUCCAGUGGAAUUCUUGUUUACCGCCCGAGGUUCUGACGCCUUACGCCUACCUCCCAAAUUGCGAUGUAUGCGCUUUUUGGUGUAAAUCAUGUUGCCUUCCCCUGGCUUGGUGUUUCUGUGUGACUGUGUCGAUGAAUUGCACAAAAUAAUACACCAGAGCUAUAAUUAUGCUAAAUAUCGAGGACAGAAGCAGGGCAAUGGUCUGGGCUAAAUAAAGCAGGUGACAUGUGGCAUGCAGAUUUUACGGCUUAAUUAGAGGCGCCUCGUCCCAAAGAAGAGUUUUUUUCCCUCCCUUUGCCUCUCCUUCUGGCCGGCCGCACGCUCUUCCCCCCGAGUUCCCUCCAUGCCUCCCGUUCCUUUCCUCCCAAUGCCGCCAACGAACCUCGCCGUCAGCCCCACGACCACCACUGCACACCUUGCUGGUUCCACACGCCGGCGUCCCCGCCACCGGGGCGCGAUGGUAUCCGCCUCGUGCUGCCGCGUCGUGGGCCUUGGCUCCCUCCUUGCCGCGGCCGCGGCCACCACCGCGUUCCUCACCUUCUCCCUCCCGUCGUCCAACGGCGUGUCCACCGCCAAGCUCACCGUAGCAGUUUCCGUCAACGCGAGCUCCACGCCGCCGCCGCCGCCGCCUCCUCCUCCUCCAACAUUAGCUACGGCGUUACCUCCCCCGCCACCGCCGCCGCCGCCCGUGGCGAGGCCUCGAAAACGAGAGGUGCGCGCGUAUAUAUAGCACGACCGUGCGAGUUGGUGAUUUGAAACUAAGCUAUGCUCUUUAUUUUUAACUUUGUGUGCUGGUGACCAGCCUUCGUAUGGGAGGAUGACACCUGAGGAGGCGCUGCGGUACGCCAAGAAGGAGAUAAUGGCCGCCGAGCCGGUAGUUAACGACCCCGACCUGUACGCGCCUCUCUUCAGGAACGUCUCACAGUUCAAGAGGUAAUUGACGUAUAGCAAGCAGAUGAUACGCUAGCUUGAUCGCGCAUGGAUAGUUCGUACACACAUUGCUUCCUUGCCAAUGCUAUAUACAAGUAGUCAUCCUGUACAUUUUGUCACAAACGGUUCGGUACAAUCAUACACGAUAAAUUUCACCAUAAACAUAGUAUUUUGCGGAAAUUUACAUCAUAUAUCAAUUGUUUUAACGAUAUAAGUUGGUGCUCGACAAAGGUCCCACAGGACCUAGGCUACUAACCGUUCAUCUGGCUUAUUUUUGAAAAUAUUCUAGAGUGAAUUUCACUUUUUACCUCCUUUUUAAUCAUUUUUACACUGUUUAUCUCAUUUUAAGAUCUCUGCCACAUUUCCCCCUCUAUUUGUACAAAUAUGACAUGUUUUACCCAUUUUAAAAAAUUACGCUCAUUCUGUCAAGUAGGGCCCCCUGUUCGGAGUGACGACGUGACAUGUUCACGUGGGAAGCGUAAUUUUCAAGGCGUUUUCUCCUAGAUGCAUUUUCUGCCGAAACAAUAAUCAAUAUGAUUGUUACUGAAAUAUUGAGUGAAUUCUCAUAUAUAUUUGCAAUUUGUACGUAAAUUGCAUGCGCUCACAAGCGUAAAUUAAGUCACAAGUCUAACGUUACAUUGUAAUGGAAGUAUUGAACGUGUGACUAAAGCAGUAGAAAAGUCAUGAAAAUAUUAGGAAUAAUUGUCAAAUCAAUUUUUGCAGCAUUUUUUUUCCUGCAAAUCUAUCCAUCAAACACAAUAAUAAACAAGAUCAAUUGUCAUCUAAACCAUGAAGGCGAAGUAACUAUAUCUUUUCUCAACAAUUCUUGAGAAUCGGUAGUAAUCUAACGAAAUGAUCAAUGAAAUAGCAGGCGGUGGUGUUGUAUGAAAUGUUGCCGAUAAUAUAAAAAAGGUGCAUUCAAGCAGCGGGGACUGGAGAAAAAUGGAAGGCAAGAGUUGUUAGAGGAUGGUCUAAAUAUCUGCAAAGAAUUUAGGCGGCCACAAAAUAGCAUAGCAGUGUGUAUUUUUAGAUAAUUGAAAUUUUAAAAUAAUUUAGGCAGCCACAAAAUAGCAAAAGCGAAAAUAAAUAGACUAGGGAAGGGCCCGCUAAAUCCCUUUUAAUCAAGUAGUUGCAGGUUGGGUUUGCACCGUCCGUUUUCAACCCUAUUGCAGUUUGCAGAAACGCGCAGAAAAGCCUUCUUUUUCUCGAGAGGAAGUGCAAUGCUAGUCAUGUUUUAUUUGUUUGUUCUUUUGAAAUCACAGAAUUCACAUACUUCUAUAGUACGUUUGUUGCAAUGUAGCAUCGACAUUUUACACUUUUCGUCCACAUGAUUGUACGUACCAAUUCAGUGCCGUGACUAAACGCAUCAUAAUUGUAGCGAACUGUGAUCAUCCAGGAGCUAUGAACUGAUGGAACGGAUACUCAAAGUUUACAUUUACCAGGACGGCCGGAGACCCAUCUUCCACACUCCUCCUCUCAGCGGCAUCUACGCGUCCGAGGGCUGGUUCAUGAAGCUUCUCAAGGAGAGCAGGCGGUUCGUCGUCGCCGACGGGGCCAAGGCGCACCUCUUCUACCUGCCUUACAGCUCGCAGCACCUCAGACUCUCGCUGUACGUGCCAGACUCCCAUAACCUGCGCCCACUGGCCGUCUACCUGAGAGAUUUCGUCCAAGGCCUCGCCGCCAAGUACCCUUUCUGGAACCGCAACAGAGGGGCCGAUCACUUCCUUGUCGCCUGCCAUGAUUGGGUAAGGUAUUAAGUUCAAUCCAAUCAAUCUUGCAUGAAUCGUGAAGAUUGAAUUCUGAGAGAAAAUUUUACUACUUGCAGGGACCUUACACGACCACAGCGCAUCGCGACCUGCGCAGGAACAGCAUCAAGGCGCUGUGCAACGCCGACAGCUCGGAGCGGAUCUUCUCCCCGGGAAAGGACGUCUCCCUCCCGGAGACAACCAUCAGGACGCCGAAGCGGCCACUCCGGUACGUCGGCGGGCUUCCCGUCUCCCGGCGGCGCAUCCUCGCCUUCUUCGCCGGCAACGUGCACGGCAGGGUCAGGCCGGUCCUCCUCAAGCACUGGGGCGACGGGCGCGACGACGACAUGAGAGUGUACGGGCCCUUACCCAACCGGGUGUCCCGGCAGAUGAGCUACAUCCAGCACAUGAAGAACAGCAGGUUCUGCCUGUGCCCCAUGGGGCACGAGGUGAACAGCCCCAGGAUCGUGGAGGCGCUCUACUACGAGUGCGUGCCGGUGGUCAUCGCCGACAACUUCGUGCUGCCCUUCAGCGACGUGCUCGACUGGACCGCCUUCUCCGUGGUGGUCGCCGAGAAGGACAUACCGGACCUCAAGAAGAUACUCCAGGGGAUCUCGCUCAGGAGGUACGUGGCCAUGCAUGACUGUGUCAAGAGGCUGCAGAGGCACUUCUUGUGGCACGCCAGGCCCCUUAGGUAUGAUCUGUUCCACAUGAUUCUGCACUCCAUUUGGCUCAGUAGAGUGAACCAUGUUGAACUUCUGGAGUAAAUAUAUAUCAGAUGAUCCAUGUGUGUAAGGUAUUUGUGUGAAUUGUAUAGAUGCAUGGCCUCAGGCCCUCUGUAUACAGUGUACAGUGAAUUUAGCAUAGUGAUGUUGCGUCACGAGGUACAAAUUUAUGAUCAACCUGUCAAAGAUCCAAACUUCAAAAUUUCUGCAAACUGAUACCGUACGUGUAUAAACGAUUGGUAUCUCAGGCACAAACUGUUUGCCGGCUCACUACGUAGUGCUCUAAUAUCACGCACAAAUGACACAUUUGGCUGUCGCGCGAGUUUCAUACAAGUUGAAAAUUGGGGCCAAGCGGUAAAAAACUAUGGUUGCAAAUUGAUUUUUGGUCAGGCAUGGUGCGGAGCCGCCACGCUGGCUUAGUCCAUGCCCAUGGCAUGUACGAAUUACACAGAAGCCCCUUUGAAUCGAAUACCUCUGUUCCCCUCUCAUGUACUGAAUCCCUAACCCUAAUCUCUUCGACCGUGCUGUGACAGAGAAUGAGGGGGGCCAAAACCGAAGGACUAAAAUGCAAAACAGAAAAACCUGUCUCAGCUCCAGCGUGGCAGCCACGUGACCCAUUUCGGAUUUAAAUGACACUAAUCACCUGAUUAACAACUAAGUGUACCAUUUGGUCCCAAUUUUCAACUUGUUGUAUGAAACUGUUCGCGCGACGCAAGUUGUUGUACAUAUGGCCUAUUAUGCCUGUUCAAUUUUUCUUUUGAUAAUUAAAGAUGUUCCAGUACCAAAUAUAUAGGGUUCAAUGAAGGUGGAUGAUAGGCGGCAUGCCAGCAACUUACCAUCCCAGUAGAAAUAAAAGGAAAACUAGAAUACAAGUAAAAAUAUAUUUUUAAUAGAAAAUAUAGGAAAAAGAAAAACAAAAUCAGAAAAGUUAACUAAACCUUUGGCCAUAACAUGCACAAUAAAAUGUGUUCAAAAUGGUAAAGCAUGAUCACAAAUUAAUUAUAAAUGCAACUAAUCAAAAGAAAUUACAGUACCUAAAUGAUUGAUUAGAUUGGGAUAAUUCAUGUUAAUCACCUAAUCUCUCCAUCAUAUCCAAUGUCCAUGAAUAUUUCUAAACACUUGAUGCUUUACUAAUGUUAAAAUUUCCCCCUUAUAUUUUAAAAUUUCCGAAUUUAUAUUUUAUUUUUAUCAUGGUUGUCUCAGAUUCCUCUUUUUCUUCUUCUUUGAUUUAAGCUGUUGAGUGCUGACGUGCAUGUAUAAAGCAAUGGAUUCAACAGUUCGAGGUUAAGAAACAUCUCUGGUUUCAGAGUGUGGUGUUCAUUUCUGGGGUAAUGACAUACAGUAUGCAGCGACAAGUACUGAAAUAUAAAGCACCAAGGAAGGACGUCGUCUCUGUGGCAAUUCUACAAUACUUUCUCUUCAGAUAUGAUUUCCUGACGAGUCAGAGGUCAGAACCAAGAACAACGUAUAAAUCGUAUACUUGUGGCUAAGUAGUAGCAAUAUGAACUGCAAAAUUUACAUGACGAACAAGAACACCGGUAGUACGUAGUAACCCAGCAACAUUCCGAAAGGGCCGGGAAUGAACCCCAUCAGGUUCAGACCAUACUGAAGAGAUUAGCCGUGGAGAUGAGCGAGCUUGCGGCAAGCGUGAGGAAGCCCAGGAAGGAGAGCCACACCGCGCUGCUGAUCUUCUUGUUGAAGGCAUCCUGGCCGAACCUCGACACCCACAGAUCGUUGCGCGACGCGGCCGCCGACGACGCCGACAUCAGGAGAUACGCCAACACCUGCGGUAGAUAGAAUCCAGCGAAAUGAGACGUGAACCCUAUUACUACCAAAUUAUCAAUUGCUAACUCUAUUUUUCAGCUUCAGCAUGUACGGUGCUACUUGACUUGCCUGAUCAAGGAACAGGCUGACGUAGUAGCUUGACAUGCUCCGGUAAAUGAACCUCGGCCAGACAAGACGGCGGAUUUCACCGCCGGCUUGCGCAAUUGAGUAGACGCAGACGAUCACGUUGACCCCGAUGGCGUACCUGCAUGCAUUCGAGAACAAGAGAAAUUAUUUUUCUCCCCAAACGUCGAACUCUGUUUUUUUCUUUCGAAACGGAUACUCUGUUUACAUAAGACAGGAUUCUGAAUUCAGGGUUUUGGAUAGCAGUUGUACUGGCUACUGAACCUAUACCAGGAAUGGGUGCUGUUUCAGUUUUAGGACAAGCCGCAGUCUCAUUUGAACAGCAAUUGGCACGCACAAAUUUUGGUGAAAAAAAAUCCGUUGUUUCUGUGCAUGGGUCCCCUGUCUACAAAAUAAAAAGAACAAGUCUUAAGCAACGUUGUCUAUGCUAAAUUCCCCGGUGAAUUCUACAUUCGGGGCGAGGAAUGCUGGUGGUGCUUUGUUAAUGUUGUUGCGCGUUGAUGUGACGUGUUUGUAAUUGCACGAACGCUAAUCACAGGAGGGGAAACAAACAAGCAGAGUACCGACGGCGCCACAAAACAAACGAAGAAACAAACAGUUGACCCGACAAAAAUUCUAUGCAAUAAUCAGAAAACAAUUAGUACGAACUAAACAGCGAAACGCUUAAUCAAAGAAUUCAUUCCCACAGCUGAAAGAUCAAUCCUACCUUGUAAAAAUUGAAAAUUCCAAAAAUAAUACUAACUGCUAGUAUGAUACAGUAAGUACCAACUCCCUAUAAUAAACCGUCAGAACCUGGACAUAUCCGAAUAUGGAGUAGAAUUUGUUUUUCCAAAAAAAAUGAAAGAAAAAACAUGUAAGCAAGCAAUUGAUCGCCAACCUGUAUUGCACGUAGCGGCCGUAGAAGUCGCCGUCCCAGCCAGACGUCCGGGCGCUCAGCAUGACAGCGAAGGACGCCAGGCUGAGCACCGCCGUGGCCACCCGCAGCCCCGCCGACAGCGGCCUCCUCUCCCCGACCGCGGCCACCGCGGCCACGUCGGCCGGCACCCCUCUGCCGUCGCCUCUAUGCUCUGCCGCCGCUCCCGGCGCGUGGGAGCGCUGGCUGUCGAGCCGGGCCUUGCCGAGCUGCAGUGGCGACGUGAUGGCCUCCUCGUCCGGGUCGAACGGCACCGAGAUCGGCGUGGCCGGCGGCGGCUGCUUCCAUGCCUCCGCGCGCUUCGGCGUGCUCUGGGCGCUCUUGCCGUUGCCGUUCGCGGCUGGAGCAGGGGUCAGCGGCGACGGCGGCGUCACCGAUGGCGAGGGAGACUUAUUGGCGAGAGACCCUUGCGACGGCGUCCGGACGAGGCCGGUCGCGAGGCGGAGCUGCGGGCGGCGGCCCGGUGCCGGGGCCGGGCCUUCUUCGCCGUUGCCGGUGGGGGAGUCCGGCGGGGGCAGGCGCUGCUGCUGCUGCUGCGAAGGGAAGCGCACGGGAGACAGGGGCGGGCUCUUGGUGGCGGAUGCUCGCCCGUUGGCUUCUUCUUGCUGCCAUGGAGGCGUCUCUUCCCGCGCCUCGUCCAGCGAUGGCGUCGGCGUGUGGUAGUCCUCGCCCGGCGUGGAAGGCGAUGACUCCGGAGGCGGCGUCCGCGGCUCGGGCACGGGCACGGGGACGGGGACGGGCGGCGGCGGCCUCACCGGCGGCCGGGCACGGGGAGUCUCGGCCAUGUGUGCGCGUGCGACCGAUGCGCGUGGGCGGAUCAAUAGGAGGGAUUGGUUCAGUUCGACUUGGGGUGUUAAGUAUCGGAGGUUACGUGUUGGCUGCCUUCUCGGUUUAUUUGCUUCCUUCCUUCCCUCCUUCUUUCCUUUUGUUUUCCGUUUCUUCCUUUUCCUAGUAUCAUGCAUACUUGCCGACCUGUUCGUUGGCUUUUGCUGUUCUGCAAAACCGGCUUUGCAGUUCUCUUUAUCUCCUGAAAUCCCUCUUGAUUCAAUUUAGUUUUAUUUAAUUAAACUGUUAAGAUAAAGAUAGUGAGUAAUAGUUUCAUUUAUUUAGCAUGGCCGUACACAUAAUAGUUUUGCAUGGGUUCCCAGACGAGGGACAAAGCGGCCAUCUGAAGUUCGAAACUGUGUCACAAGUAUUUGAAUGCCUUUUCGUUUUCUUUCCGUUUUUCCAGAAAACGACAAGAGCGCCGGGACUCAGAACUCGGAAGGGAAAUGCUAUUUCGAAGUUGCAAACAAUUCUGAUUUUUUUUUAUGUGUGUAUAUAUAUAGAUGUGAUGCAAUCUGCAUAUGUGUACUCCCUCCGAUGCAUAAAAAUUGUCGUACAUUUUGUAGUAAGUUAGUACAGAUUUUGUACUCUCUCUAUAUAAAUCCACGUCACUUAUUUCAGUACGGAAGGAGUACGAAGUGGGCGAUACUUUUUAGGACACUUUUUAUGGAUCGGAGGGAGUAAAAUUUUGUGACUAAAUAACAUGCGAGCCAAGGAGAAAGAAAAAUAUAAAUUUGUGAAUAUUUUGCUUUUACCUUAUAGGCCACAAAUUAAUGAACAUAUUUCGCAAUGAAACUUUACAAGUAUAUAAUGCACAUCUAUAUAUACAUGUAUAUUGUUUUAUAGAAUUUUUGGUACCACAAAAUACUGGAUUUCAGGCUGCUUUUUUUAGGAACGUGAGAGAGAAAAGUGUAUACACAUGUGAAUUACUCCCAAAAUACUGGAGUAGUACUCUUCGUAUUCCAUUAGAGGUUUGUCGGUUGUUAUCCAGACCCCAAAGAGAGGCAACAUGUUAAUAGGGGAGGAAAUUGCAUGGCCGGUCCUUAAACUUGGCAGGUAUAUUUAGUUUCAUCCAUUAACUUGCAAACUUGAAAAACAAGACCUUAAACUUGACACGCCGAUUCAUUUUAGUCCAAAUCGACGAAUUCAGGCUAAAUUCGGCCAUGAUGGCGGCUAGUGGACAUGGUUGGCUCGGGCGGGUUCUUUUCGCAAAUUUUUGGGCGAUGAAAUUUUCCAUUUUAACCCUUUGGAAGAGUUCGGUCUCGAACCCGUGGUCUAGCCCUCGCUUGGAGGAAGUGACAACUGUGGUAUUUUCACAAAAUACCCUUCCUCAUCCUCUGACUAUCCUCCCUGUGGCCACGAUAUGCUCUCAUCCUCUAGGGCCAAGACAUGAUAGAGUCGCUCCCUCACUAGUGAACCCACUUCGGCCCUACAUCGGCGACGUUCUCGUGAUCGGUGGCGGCCAAGGGAACGGGGGAGGCAAUGGGGGCGGUGGUGUUGACUGCUAUACGAUGAAGUAGCUGGCGGCGCUUCUGAACCAUCGGUUCAAGACUUUGAAAGAUUUGGCUUUGUGGACCGGGUACGAGACCUAACUCUUCAUGGGUUUAAACGGAAUACUCCAUCGCCUGAAAAUUUGCAAAAAGAACCCCUUAUGCCAGCCAUGUCUACGUUAAUCAUGAAUUAAUCAUGAAUUCGUUGAUUUGGACUAAAAUGAACCAAUUUGCCAAGUUUAAGAUCAAGUUUUCAAAGUUUGCAAGUUAAUGGAUGAAACUGAACAUACAUGCCAAGUUUGAGGAUCUGGCAUGCAAUUUCCUCUUAAUAGGGCCGUAAUAAGCUUGCUUAUGCUAUCGCACAGUCCGCGGAGCAUUUCUUGAAGGUACAUCGUCCGUUGAAUCUCCAUAUUUCAUCCAAACCACACUUUGUAAUGAACUUGUUGUGAAUUAAUCAAUGAAGUGUCGCAUCCAUAAAAAAUAAAUUAACUUCUUGUGUCGAAAAUUACCUAUUGUUCUCCCUCUAAAUGUUUCUCUGAACAUAGAGAAGGUGCUGUUCCUAGUAUGACGGUCCAUGGUCAGCUUGUAUGCGCUCGCGUCUCAUGUCUGCUCCAGUGAAAUCGGUCACUACCAUCGCUGCAGAAUACAUCGACACUCACUGCCAAGGAAGAGGGGAGGAAAAACAAAAGCCGAAAAAGGACAAUGGCACACGACCAGUCGGAAAAUGGUUAAUUAGUUAACAUCAUAAAAAAAACUGGAAAAAACCUUCAUUUCUUUUUUUUAAGAAAUAUUCAUUUAUCUACGUUCAUGCAAGGUGACAAACUGAGUCUCCCUUGUGAUGCAAGUUAACUAAUUGGAUUUUUCGGUUAAUUAACUGGAUUUGGAUCUAAUAGGCCUUGACAGAGCGCGUGCUUAUUCAACACACUUGGCUUGGCUGGCAUGAUAGUAAAUUAUUAAUAUGAGUUGUUGUCCUAAUUGGCAUGUCAUACUCCUUGGUAGCCGGUAGGCAGCCGGGGACUGUCUGACAGAUAUAAAUUGGAGGUCAAUAAUAACUCGGUAUGAUUGUUUGCUGGUCUGCCGCUUGAUUUGUGUUUGAUAGGAUACAAGUAACAAGCAAGGUGGGGUCCGGGGGUUGUCUAGAAAAGUGGACACGACCGAGAUCCGUCUUAUCAUAAUUUUUGUGGGCUUGUGACGAUAAUGCAACCACGUAAUGAACGAGAAUAGUUGUCAGUUCUCUUAUUGCCUUGGCAUAUACGUUAUGGAGGUUGAAAACUACAUGGAUCCGUCGAGAAACUGAUAUGUAUUGAAGUUCAAUUGAAUAAACAUGAAGUGGAUAAAAUUAAUCGCUGAUAAAUGCUAGUGCACUGUUAGGAACUCUUAUGCUUUUUGUUUGUUGUUGCUACCUCAACCACAAGGUCCAAUACUCGAAUUGUUAGUCACCGUCAGAGUUUCCAGGAACAAAUACUCACCUACGGACUAGCGUGGGAGGAAAUAUAUGGACGGAGUACGGGAGUAGGCUCCCCGAAUCAGAAUUUAGUAGAGGGUGUUCCAGACGGGGCCUCGUGAAAAGGUCGGGCUAGGUAAUAUCCAAGGUGGAAGAAAAGAAUUAAUCCCAAGUGUGGAGUGUGGACUUGACAACAGAAUGUUACGGCCUAGCCAUGAAGGCUCCGCAGCAAAUGUCGCUGUACUAAACCCUGUUUUUUCUUCCAGAAACUGCUACUGAAUCCAACCAGCGCAUCUCUAAUACGAGUAAUUCAUUUAUGCUAGUUUGUGAGCUACAAUCUUCAUAUCAUCAACAACAAUAUACAAGACCAAUACUGGAAGAUUGAGAGAACGUAAUUUGCUCUCUCACUCUAUUUUGAAGCUUGUACAUGAUUUUCAGUUAAUUUACAUAUGACUUUGCUCUCGCUACUCAUUUAAUCUAUUUUAUAUCAUAUAAAAUCCUGCAUUUACCAUCAACUAUCUGAAGAUGCCAUCAAACCUGACUCAAAUACCCAUUAAAAAGUGAACGAAGACCUUUUAGAAAGUCACAGGAUUCGUCUUCUGUUUUCUCUUUUUUCUGGGAUGUCCAAAUCUAAGCGAGCUUCUGCUAAAGCAGGGAGCAGGUGUAGGCGUGUAACCUGCGUAUACCAAUUUGGCAGCAGAUUAGUGCUAAAGGCGCCCAAUAGGUGCGGUUCAAUGGAAUUACUUUUGCAAAGCACUUUGAUUGGUGGGGCUUGUAGAUCGCUUUGCUCUUUUGUUUCUUUUUCUCAUUAGGCUGGUCAGGUGGUGGCAUGGCAUGCGCACCUUAAUGGUUAAGGUAUCCCGAGCAAGGCAAACAUGUAGGCCUUAGUUGUCUUUCUGUCAUUCCUGCACGUCACGCUGAACCAAGAUCAGCAAUGGGUAGAUUCGAGUCUUUUGGAACUAUGCUAAAUGCCCAGAUGUCACGCGCUCAAGUCUCGUCUUUAUUUGAUACCUAGCCCUCCUUGCAUCAAAGUGGAAAAAACAAAAAUACAAACUGUUCGUGCCAACUUGCCAUCCAAAUAUAGACGCCAUUCGGGAUUUUUUUUUACAGUCGUCAGAUUGGCUCAGGGAUAUCAUGACUUCAGGUUGGCUCAGGGAGAUCAUGACUUCAGGUUGGCAGCGGAGCUGUAUGACUAUCCUGAUUACAUGCAUAUUACUACCUUGUCUUCUUUGUCAAGCUGUUCUCCAAGACCUGUUUUUACUAAUGACUGUACUAGUGUACUCCAAUAUGUAGCAUCACAAGGCAACCUGAAAUUUGUCGGGUACACGGAGCAGCGGCAGCUGAUAGUCCCCAGGCUCUCCUAGCUGCCCGCAGGCAGCCAUCUGAUCAUCCCCUCUGCUUAGCCGAACCAUUACUGUAAGGCCAGAUUGGAUUAAAAUGUUACGGAACUCGAUAAUUUUCUCAUCUGGUGUGGGCUUGAAUUGGGACCCACUGUGGGGGUUGAAAGAGAUGAGGUUGAUCUUGCAGGAGAUACCAUGAACCAGCUCUGUAAGCCUCUUCGCAUCGUCCAUGCUGUGAGCAUAGUAAAUCCAAAAAAAUGUUGAGAGUGCAAGGGGUAACUUAUUACCGUAAGAGCUUUAUAGAGUUACUACCGAAUAGAAGGUUUAAUUUGCUUAUGAGAUUAGUUACAACACCAAUGGCAACUACAGUCUAUAUUCCUUAGAUUGUCAUUUGGGCAAAUACAGUCUAUAUUCCUUAAGACUGUCAUUUGGGCAACUACAGUCUAUAUCUCCGUCCACAAAUAAGUGGAUGUUUAGCUUUAAAAUUUGUCCAUGAAAGAGUGUAUUUCUCUCUUUCCAAAGAACUUUAAAGUAAAAAAAAAAUGAUUCUCUCUCAUCACACGGAAAUCAAAUCCAAUAACAUUUCUACAUGCACUACUUAGCUCAUUAGAGGUGGGGGAAUGAAAGAUAUGGUGGUUGGCACCUUCACAAUGCACUUUCUACCCCCACUCCAUAAUUUGUCUUAAAAUUCCUAUAUGUCCACUUAUUUGUGGACGGAGGGAGUGUGUAUGAAGCAAUUUGAAAAAUGACUUAUUCUGGAUAAAAAUAGCAAAACAGCCUUUUGCAAAUGUUAAGUAGUGUAUUCAUAUCUCAAGUAGAAAAUAGCACUGUAUGUCAUCUCUUUUAAGAAACUAGCCCCAUAUUUGUGCAUUUGUACGGACUAAAAAAUACACUACAUGCUUAAAGAAAAUUGUACGUACUAUCAUUUAUUGUAUCAGAUCAAAUAAUAAAUAUCCAUUCUUGUCUUAGUGGUUUGUGGCAAAUCAAUAGCUCGUGCGGUCCGAAGGUGAUGGACAGCCACCAGCAAUUGAGAUCUUUAUAGGAGUAAAGAAAUCAACAAGAUGACAACAACCAGAAACUCUUGGUUAAUCCAGAUUACUGACCUGUCAUUCACUUCAGCAAGCAUAACAUAUUCAAAUAGCACUAUGGACUUUCUUCUCAAACGAAGCUCCUCCCUUAAAGUGCCAAGAAGCAAGUUAAGAUUGUACUUUCUGUUAAUGGGCAUUAUCCAGUUUCUAACCUGGAAGGGAAAGUUUAGUGCACGGAACAGCAAAUAAUGCCAAACCAUUUCACGACAAUGAAAUUACCAAAUUUUCACCUCAUCAGUUGUUGCAUUAAGACUCACGGCCAGAUCGCACUUGGAUUCAUGGAGGAAGCGUUUUAUCUGUGGAACAAGACCACUUGUGGAGACAGUAACCUUGCGAGGACUAAACUGAAGGCCCUGCUCAUCAACCAUUAUAGCUGAUGCUUUUAUUACAUUGUCUACAUUGUGCAAUGGCUCACCCAUGCCCUGUACAAAUUAGAGAUUCAUGAAAGAUUUUGUGGAAAAGGUGAUAGAAUCUUAUCGACAAAUCCUACAGCACUGAUGCUAUACAACUAUACAAAUAGACAGAAAUGCAUACCGAGUCUUUGCAUCACAUUGUUAUCACUAGACUAAUUAAUGCAGAACUCCCAAAGGACCAAAACUACGAUAAAGGAAACCAUAAAAUAAGGCCUAACUCAACAGUAGUGAAUACUGAUGCCACUGCAUAUGGAUGCAGGCAGAAGAAGGGUAAUGCUAUCAGAAAACAGUGCUAAGUGAAACAAUAUAUUUACGAAGAGUGGCAUGCAAAAGCAAGAUACAUGGAUUUAAGAUAAAUAAAUUACAAUUAAUAUAGCUAGUCAUGUUAGUUAGCAUGAAGAGAAUGCUUACCAUAAAUACAACAUUUGUAAUGGAUCCAAAUUCAUCUGAAAAUAGCUUACGAGCAAACACAGCCUGCUCAACUAUCUCAGCUGUAGACAAAUGCUUUCUCAAACCCAUCCUUCAGUGACCAAAAGAAAAAUAUAAAUCAUUAUGGAAAAACCAUAGAAAACAAUGCUAGUCAAAGAAUGUAUACAGACCUCCCAGUGAAGCAAAACUGACAAUUCAUGGCACAGCCCACUUGACUAGAAACACAGACCGUUGUCCUACCCCUGGCGUUAGGAAUGACAACUGUUUCAAUCACCGAGGCGUUCUCAAGAGAGAACAGUAUCUGUAACAUCCUGUGUUCCAAAAUCAAUCAUAUCCUCAUAACAUUACAGAAGAUAGCAGUGACACUGAAAGAGCUACCUUUCUUGUUCCAUCGGACGCAGUAAUAAUGUCUUUCACAGUUAAUGCCUUGAGAUCAGCAAGCUCGCAUAUCAUUUUCCUCAAGUCCUUAUUCAAGCCUGCACAGGAUCAGAGGAACAAAACAAAUGAAAAAUAUUGUAGCAAAGAAAAGAAAUAUGAGCAAAUUGCAAAUUUCAUGUAAUUAAACGUGCAAAGUUAGAGAAAAUUUUACUCGCACAGUUAAAGGAAUAGAAAAGGUUGAUAGUAGAAUACCCUAUGCAAUGCUUUUCUUCUUACUGAAAUGGCAAUGACAUCUUCAAAGUAUGCAUGUCAUCGGUUUGCAGCUGUUGAAUGGCCACAGUUUUUUCUUCAGUUUUUUUUUUUUUUUGCAUACUAUAGCAAGAGGUGAUGCAUAUGGUAUGUAUGAUGGUUGCUCUUUAUGAGGGCAGCAAGGUGGUAAUGAAAUGAACAUGGUGUAGACAUGAUCACAGAUGACUCGUAAUUUUUUCACAGGUGAACAUGUUCUCUGUCAAAUCCAAACAAGCUACUCCCUCUGCAUCUUUUCACAAUGCAGAAUUUGUUUCAUCAAGUCAAGCCUUUGAUCAACACUACAUAAUAUGUGGUUCAUGGAUACAAAAUCACAAUCAUUAGUAAGUAUUUUGGAAUAAGAAUGUAAUGAUAUCAAUUUUAUGUCCCAUAAAGUGCAAACUAAAGAUGUAACUUUUGGUCAAAGCUUUGUCUUAACAAAACAAAUUACAUCCUACAAAAAGAAAUGGAGGGAGUAAUAUCUUAUGUCAAUCCUUGAUAAUUAAUUGCAUACAUAUCAAACUAUUAAUCUAGACCUCUGAGAAAAAAACUUACAAAAAACAAAUCCACACAACACUAACUAUAACCUAAAUAUGGCUAGAAGGUGGGUACUGCACAAGUAAAGUAUACCUGGAUCUAUGCUUUCCGUGCCUUUUUUCUGUAAACUAUUUUUUUCCUUAAGGAUGAGUAGUAAUAAUCAAAUACUAGUUGAUAGUGAUGGUGAUCAAAAACUAGUGAACCUAAAAUCUUUUGCGGAUAAUGAACUUGUUGAUUUUGAACUUUAGUGAUAAGUUUCAUCUUGUAUGAAGUACUGUGUGCAGUCGCUUUGGUUCUCAAGAAAUUAUUAGAGACAAGCGAUGUGCCUUUGAUGUUUGUCUUGAGAAACCGUUUCUCAUGCAUUGGAAAAAAAAAGAAAGAAAGUGCAGAUAGGAUGGAUAUCCUCACAAGGCAUAGCCCUUCAAAAUGAUAUUUUUCAAGAAGAUUUCUUACGAUUGUCUAAUUUAAGAUUUUGCAUCAAGGAACGUUAGAAGGACUGAAAGAGCCAAGUUUCAAGUACAAAAUAGACCAGCGGUUACAAGAAAAUUGUAGUACCAGUAUGUCAAUUAAAUAAUGUUCUUGGUUUCAUAAGCUGUUUUUCUUAAACCGCGGCAAAAUUCGGAUUUCACAACAGGCCACUAAUUUCUCAGUUACAGCGCUGCAUGUGUCAAAAAUAUUUGAUUGAGGAAAACAAAACUGCAACCUACCAGCCAGCUCGUCGUGACAAUGAGCCCAGACGUUGUUCCCGUAGAGGCAUUUCCACAGCAUCAUAGCCUGCCCCGGUCGAAAUCCCUGUGACUGAACCCAUUUCUGGGAAAAGCCCGUGGAAAAAUCAGCUCACAGACAAGCGCGGACCAAUAAUUGACGAACGAAUUACAACACUUCAAGGUUAAGAGAGAGCUGUUACCUCCAGUUCCGGGUAAUCCAUUCCCUUGAGCAUGACCCUGGAGCCAGGUUCGCAGCGGACGACAGCCGAGGGUCGUCGGAGGGCGGAGAAGAGGCGCCGCGUCGGAGGAGAGGCAGAGUGGACGCGGAGAGAGGAGGCGCCCCAUCUGAGGAGAGGGCCGAGAGGAGGCGCCGCCAUCGGAACUCCGGGCUGGUCCACAGUACCGCGGCCGUCCGCGGUUGGGACUUUUUCAGAGUGGCUGGAUAGAGUAACCUCGUUAAGUCGUAAACAAUAAGUGGACUGGAUUGCUCCGUUGUUUGGGCUUUUUGCUAGGAAGCAGCCCAAGAUGGAACCUGAAUUCUAGUUUUGAAAACCGGACCGGACCGCCGGUCGGAAAAAACCGUACCCGGACGCCGUACUGGUCUGUUAAGACCUCGGGACCGCUCGGGCAGGCGAACCGGGAAAACCAGGACGAACCGGCCGGUUUGUGUCUAAACCCGCGAACCAGGCGGCUCAAUUGCUAUCCAAGCGUGGAUCGAACACGCGACUUCCCACUCCAACGGGGAUGAACCUCCCAGCCAGUUAGGCUACCCUUUGUUCUAUACUAUUGUCGGAAAAGACCCUUUUUAUUAAGGAAAAACGGUUGGGCCUCCAUUUCAACUGGGUUGUGCUGCCAGUUGGGCUGGGCCAGUUCUGGCCCUUCUAGCACUUCUUGUAAAUGUGAAAAUAUGGUUAAAAAAACAAAAAAAUGAGACAUGAAUUUUGCAUUACACUACAUUUUUUUUCCUUUUAUUGCAGCAUUUAUGACAAAAAUAUAUUAUUUAUUGUCUUAAAAAACCACACCGGUUCAACUGGUGAACCAGCGGGUUCGACCGAAAGAACCUGAACCAGGAGCCUCGCCGGUUCGAUCAUCUGUCCGGUUUUCAAAACUAGGACCUGAAUAGGAGUACGGAGUCCCUGGUUGUAGGUAUCUGAUCGAUUUGGUUUCUCAAAGUGUAUGCUGAAUUUAACCUAAAGGUUUGUGAGGAGAUAAAUUGAUUUAUAUUACUCCCUCCGUCCAACAAAAGAUGUCUCAAGUUUAUCAAAAUUUGAAUGUAUUUUGUGUCAAACUUAAGACAUCCUUUAUUGGACGGAGGGAGUAUGAAAAAGCUUACAUUUUGAAACAGCAUUUUGGAGUACUUAUUUUUAGUUGGUAUCUGAUACCACAAUGUAGGUAAUUAAUUAUAGUUUUUUACUUGCAUAAAACCCGAAUCUGCCAUGCUGGUAGUCAAAGGGACUCUUUGUUUUAACAGUUGGUCAAAGAGACCCACUAUAUCCCACAUCAAAAUACGUAUCUCAUGCUCCCUCCGUUACAUAAAAAUUGGCACGUUUUUAAACUAGUUCAAAACCGUGUCUAUCUUUAUGGAACGAAGUGAGUACAUCAAGUUAACAGAGGAUACAUGACAGAUUAGACACAUUAUUUUGAGGUUUCGAAGUACGGAGAUUAAAUUGCACCUACAGAUCAUGUUCAACGAACAUAAAUGAAAUUCAAGAAGUUGUAGAGGGGAGGGGAGGGGAAAUAUUUGGGAAGCUCUGUGGCGGGAAAGGGAGAAGAAGACGGUGAUCUCGCAGGAUGUAAACCGAUAUGAAUUCCGCACCCCCGCGCGGAACAAAUUUUGCUCGUCCGUUACGGGUUUCACUCUUGAGUAGAAACUCAUCCGUUACAAGCUCAAGAAAAGGUAGGAAAAAGGAAAGGAAACUCAUAUGAGGCCACGACGCGAGUCCUCCUCCUCAGUCACUUGCCCCGUGCCUGCCUACUUCCAUGCUCGCGCACGAACACGAGCCACCUCUGCCUCGCCAUUCGCCAGCGCCCCCCCCCCCCCCCCCCUCCCCAGUCCCCCCUGUAGCAUAGCCACCACCAGUGCUCCUCGCCGCGGCAGCUACACCACCACCUGAGGCCUUCCUCGCCGAUCGCCGCAACCUCGCCUAGCCUCCGACCCCCUCCCGUGAGGCUCCGAGCAUGAGGUUUCCCAGCGCGGGCGGCGGCGGGAGCGGGGACGCGGGGUUCGUGCGGGCGGACCAGAUCGACCUCAAGAGCCUCGACGAGCAGCUGGAGCGCCACCUCAGCCGCCACGAGCGGACCGAGCCACCCCCGCCGCAGCCCGGGAGCCGCCGCGGCGAGUCCACGAGGCCAGGGGACGCGCAGCCGGCCCCGGCGCAGCAGCCGCGCCGGCGCCGGGAGGACUGGGAGGUUGACCCCGCCAAGCUCGUCAUCAAAGGCGUCAUCGCCCGCGGCACCUUCGGCACCGUCCACCGCGGCGUCUACGAUGGCCAGGACGUCGCCGGUAUCGUACCAUCUCUACUUCACAUAUACGUGUCCACUGCCUCCCUGUUUCAGUGUCCGUUAGCUGCUCGAUGAAAUUACCCUGCUAUUUCGUGCUGGCAGCAUCAGAUGCUUCUCCUUUCCGGUCGAUUAUUCGUUUUGCGAGUUCUUAGGAAACGUUGCUGUUUUGUUUUUCGUCCAUGUGUUCGAUCUUCUGGGCCUAGGACGCAAUGGUGAGUAGAAUGGAUUGAUCGAUCGAUGUCAAUGCCAUUUACUUUCUUCCGAGUUAUUUUCGCGGGUCGUGUCACCGGUGGUUUCCUUGUCAGCAAAUUGCUAAAGUUGAUGCCUCUGCUUUCCUGGAUUCCAUGGUGUAUUCCGUGACUUCGGGUAGAUAAGCCCGCCUUUUAUGUGUAACCCCCCUCAUGUGACUCGGACCAACCAACUCUAAAGUUUUAGUAGGCGUGAUACAUGUGUUCAUCUUAUGAUGAGCCCCUGGAACUUGGAGGUUACAAACCAAAGCAGCUGAGCCCUUUAUUAGGCAAAAGGUUGCAACUUGCAACAGACGUGGUGCUUUUCCGUCAUGGAAAUGUAGAAGCAUCUGAGCCAGGUGUUUCAAAAAAGAAAAAUGUUGGGCUUUUUCUGCUAAAGCCAAUAUAAAUGAGCAGUUUUGCACUGUCUCACCAGGCAUGAUCACAUGACACUGGACAAAGCAAAUCCAAGGUGCUUGUCUGUCGCCAACUUUAUCGCCUAUUGCAUACUGCCACGAGGAAAUACAAUUACUUGUGUUGAAAAAAUAAAAUCAUCGUUAGAAUCAUAAAUUGCGAUUGAAAUGCCAUACCAGACGUGCCAAAUCAUUUAGCAACUCACUGAAGUUAUUGAGUAGCUUAUUUUAUCUUUUCUGACUACUUCGAUUUUAUUUUAUUUUUUGGCAUGAAAUCAGCUUCCUCACUGUUGUUAUCCAUGAAUAAUUGGUCAGUUCUCUGAUUCUAGUGAUCUAGCCCCACAGACAUUUGUGUCUGGCUUCGUGUUUCAUUUGUGUGUUACUUAACAGGAGUCUCACUGAUUCGGUUUUCCACACCGCACAUAAAGCUGCAACUGAUGUUGAUAUAAAAAGAUCUUUUGUUCGGCAUGCAUAACCAAAUACUCUUUUCAAGAGACUAAAAUGCAUGUUGAUCAUGAAUAAUGUGCUGCCUUUGAUCCCUAGCAAGUGCUGACCUACUAUUUAAGAUUCGGAAUGUGUUUUUUCUCAUGAUCUUAUCCAUAAAAGAGCCACCAUUCUAAAGCAUCUGGAUUCACUAGUGCGGACUGCCUGGCUGCCGGCAAUGUCUUGGUCCUUUGCCAAAACUAAGUUUACAAUUGCAACUUUCAUUUUGAAAAUAAUUGUUUUAUUUUAUAUUCCAGUAAAAUUGCUUGACUGGGGGGAGGAUGGUCAUAGAUCAGAACAAGAAAUUACUGCACUAAGAUCAGCAUUCGCACAAGAGGUUGCUGUCUGGCAUAAGCUUGAUCAUCCAAACGUUACUAAGGUAAGCUUUGGCUGAAGAAAUCCUUUUUCCGCCCGUUCAAAUUUCAUAGGUUAAAGCUUGCUGAUAGAAUAUACAUCAAAUCCCAAUUUAUAUUUAUGUUUGUUUCAUAAAACAGUUAUGUGGGUGAAAGACUGAAACUGUUCUCCACUAUUUUCCAUCAUAACCACAUGGGCAAAGUUGACUUUUACUUUCAGCAAUAUAUGGAGUUAUGUGAUCAGUUAUCCCUUUGAUUUCACUUAUGUUUCCAUGGCUAGAUAUCUGCCAUCAUCUUUCGUACUUCUAAAGUUUGAACUUUGAAGUUGGUGGUGAGUCCUGUACUUCCACUCUUACACGUAGGAGCUAUUGCAAAAAGGCAGAAAUGAGAAAUAAGGGAGAUGAGACUCACUCAAGACCCUUGAGUUCUAUAGAGUAUUCUAGCUUCCUCUGCCCAACUGUUGAAUACCAAUACACUGACAUAGUGAAGCAGAUGAUGUUACGUAUUCUAAUACAAUGUAAUUAGCUCUUCUGCUACCUUUCGCCCCCAAUUGCCAUCCUCAUGAGUCAUGACAUCUCUCCUCCCCCAUACCCAUCCUCCUGCAUUUAAAAUUCAAAAUUGUAUCCCGCUUCAUAUCUUGUAGUGGCUCUUCUGCGAGCUGUUAUGUCAUUAUCUGGGUUAUGCAAACUUAUGUCAUUACCUGGUUGAACUCAUUUAACAAAUUAUGUUAUCGCCUCUUUGUGGUUCUGCAGCAACGAACGGGCACUGUGCUAGCAAGGACAUUGCUAUCUUAUGCUCUCGGUUGUCAUGAGUCAUGACUUAAUUCUUUUUAAUGGAGGUUUACAUACUUUUUAUCUUUCAGAUAAAUGAAUUAUUAAGGUAUUUUAUGUAUGUGACCCCUGACACAGUACAUUAGAAACUUGUAUAAUCCGAACAUUUUGACGUUUUCAAUAGUAGGGCAAAAAUUGAUUACGAGUUGACGGGCCCCUGUUUGGUGUAUCAUAUGCUACCAUGAAAAUGGUAAAAGAGUCUAUCAAGCAAUCGAUCAGAGGCUCUAAUUCUGUAACCUAUCCAACCCAUUGUGGAUUACAAUAAGUUACUGUUUUUUAUCUAUUCCUUUUGUGAAUGUAGAUUUAUUCUACAGCCCAACUGGCUGUCCUAACAAUAUCUUGAACUUCAACUGACAGUUUAUUGGGGCUAUAAUGGGUGCAAGAGAUCUGAAUGUACAGACAGAACAUGGGCAUCUUGGGAUGCCGAGUAAUAUUUGCUGCGUUGUGGUUGAGUACCUUGCUGGUGGUGCACUGAAAAAUUUCCUGAUAAAGAACAGGAGAAGGAAGUUAGCGUUUAAAGUUGUGGUCCAACUAGCUCUUGACCUUGCUAGGGGGUACGUACUAGUUUUUUUUUUUUUGUCUUUUCCUGCAAAGUUCUUCUAUACCACCCCUUCAGUUUCCGAAGAUCUGACUGACCUUUGAAUUCAAUAGAUUGAGCUAUCUUCAUUCCGAGAAGAUAGUGCAUCGUGAUGUCAAGACUGAAAACAUGCUUCUGGACAAAACAAGGACAGUGAAAAUUGCUGAUUUUGGUGUUGCUCGAGUUGAGGCUUCAAAUCCUAGUGAUAUGACAGGUGAAACAGGCACACUUGGUUACAUGGCACCUGAGGUAUAUUUGAUCUUAAACUGCCUAAAGAUAUUAUCAUAUUCCUCUGUCACCUACCAUGUGCUGCUACUAGGUUUCAAUUAGAUUCAGACCAAACUACCAAGUUUGGAGAGCUCAAGUUGCAAUAUUAUCUCCCAUGUCCAUUCCAUAUCUUUUUCAUAUUUCAUAUUUUGGACCGAGCGUGAUUUUUAAAGCUGUGCCUACCCAUUGGCACAACUGCAUCACCACCACCACACCUGAUUGAAGUUGUGUACUCUAGGUAUCCUCAUUGACUUAAAAUGGCAUCACGCAGGUUCUCAAUGGUCAUCCUUACAACAGGAAAUGUGAUGUUUACAGCUUUGGAAUCUGUUUAUGGGAGAUAUACUGCUGCGACAUGCCAUAUCCUGAUCUGAGCUUCUCAGAAGUAACUUCUGCUGUCGUUCGCCAGGUAAGAGAAGCUACUCCUGUCCUAUUUUAUUCUCGCAUUGCUGGGCUCUUGUUUCUGCAGUCCGACACUGAAAACACAAAAUACAGAACUUGAGGCCUGAGAUACCGCGCUGUUGUCCAAGCGCUUUGGCGAACGUGAUGAAGCGCUGCUGGGAUGCCAACCCCGACAAGCGGCCGGAGAUGGCCGAAGUGGUGUCCUUGAUAGAGGCGAUCGACACGUCCAAGGGCGGCGGCAUGGUCCCAAUAGAUCAGUCGCAGGGAUGCUUCAACUGCUUCCGUCAGCACCGAGGCCCCUGACGCUGACACUUUGAUUUUGAUCUCAUGGCUCUGCCCGAUCAAUCCAUCUCGCUAGAUCUCAGUGUAAUCUAAUCACACCGUCGUGGUAAAUGGAGAAGUUCUAUGAUGUAAAUGCCUGCUUCAUCUCAUCCUUGUAUGCUUUUCUGCUAAUCCUAAUGCUUGAAAUGCGGUAGGAUCAAGCUUCAGAGUUUAGUGUAAGUCUGCCAGGGCUGUUCACGGGUUUUACAGUCUCAUGCUCAUGAUGUGGACUUCUCAUUGUACUAUUGCAGUUUAUGUCUUUACAGAAUGUGAAUAAAGAACAUAAUUCAAGAUGUAUUGUUGUAGCACUCGGAUUUCAUUCGAACCGAGCUCAAGGAUAGCAAGAUUCAUAGAAACAUUUUUAUGUGCGUGCUUGGAAAGGAAGAUUUUAUUUCCAAGCUGCAAAAUUAUUUGUGAUUUGUGAAAUUUCUGCAGUGUAAACGGCCAAAGUGUUUUUUAGAAAGAUAGGGCUUUUGCCCCUGUUCCAUUCAUAUGAACGAAACAGAACAAAAUAUAUGUCUCAACACUUUUUUUUCAACGAGCUUUUGGCCACACACAGGCCCUAAUGCUAUCGCUAAACAACGAGUAGUUCCAGCGCCUCUAACCAGGCAAUUACAACUUUCAGCAUGAGAACUGGACAAAAUGGCAGCAAAGUUAGCGUCAAGUGCUUGAUCUUCACGGGGAGGAGUCUUGGAGGGACAUCGACAUGAUACCUUGGCAGGCGUUGAGUGUCAGCAUCGAGACCGCCCUUCUCUUCUUCAUCUCAGGCAAAGCCUUGGGAUCUCCACCGACUUGUCCUCCAACCGUCGAAGCAUAUGUGCUAGAACGUUUUGAUUUGCGUUUGAACAGAGAGACUUCCAUGAGCGUAGGUGUCGCAGGACCAUUCGCCAGAUCACUUGCAUCGAAGACCAUGCAGAGGAACGAAAAAAGAUAUUAUUACAACAUUUCCAUAAUGACAAAGAACAGUUGCAGUAGUCAUAUUAAGUACUUCAUUUUUCCUAUUUCCCACCUAGAAAUGUGCAAUUUGUUCUAGGCUAGAGCCCAGAUUUUUCCCCAACAGUAAACUCAUGAAUUCCCAAAUAAGUGUAGCCACAAUACAGUCAAAGAAUAGAUGUUGUAUAGUUUCAGGUUCAGAACAGAACAUGCAGGUAAGAUCAUUCACAUGUUGUCUCUUGUGCAAAUUAUCUCUAGUCAGGAUCCUGUUAUGGCUAACCAACCAGAGGAAAGUGUGAAUCUUGGGGGGCAAAUGCAGUUUCCAAAUAGUUUGCACAAAUACAGGUGUGAUCCCUCUAAAGUUAACCACAACAUAUAAAGAACUAGUGGUUUAUACACCUUUAUUGUUCAAUUUCCAUACUAGCUGGUCUGGAUCAUUAGAAAUGGAAGCAGAGGAUAUUAAAACAACCGGAUCAUGCCAAAGUUGAAUAAGAUGUGGUGAGAAACCUCUCCUAAAGGAGAGUUUAAGUUCAGAACCAUCCCAGACAUCAGCUACAGAUUUGUGGUGUUCAUUACAAAUGAAGUAAAUUUCCAAGAACUGGAUAGCCAAGCUAGAGCUUCCUAUCCAUUGAUCUUCCCAGAACUUAACAUUUUUCCCAUUGCCAAUUUUCCAAAAAUAUCAUAGUUUUGCUGCAUGGGAGGCCCAAAGAACACCUUUCCAGAAAGGGGAGGAAAAUGCAUCGGAACAAGCAAACAUAUUGGGAGAACUAGUGUCAGAUUUGAUGUCAAUAAUCUGUCUCCACAACUUAUUUGUGUCAAGGUGGUACCUCUUAAUCCAAUUAGCCAACAAGCAAACAUUAAGGUCCCUUAGAUUGGGGAUGCCAAGGCCCCCAAACUCAUUUUUCAAAGUAACUAAUUCCCAAUUUGCCAGAUGAUAUUUGACAUGCCCUUCAUAAUUGUCCCAGAAACAGUGAGCCAUCUGAGAGUUAAUUUCACUGAUGGCCCAUUUAGGGAAUUUGAUUAUAGAUAGAAGGUAAAUAAGAAUACUAGCCAAGCAGGAUUUGAUCAAGGUAAGCCUGCCUCCAUAAGAAAGAAGUCUCCCUCUCCACCCAGCUGCUCUUUUAAUAACUUUGUCUAGAACAGGUUGCAGAUCUUCUUUCUUUAAUUUGCAGAAAUGAGAGGAAUCCCUAAGUAUUUCAUGGGCCAUUGUGCUAGUUUGCAACCUAGUGUUUGAGCAAAAGGUCUAAUUUGCUCAUCUUCUAGGUUCAGGGAAUAAAGAUCACUCUUAUGAAAAUUAAUCCUCAUUCCAGACAUUUGCUCAAAAAGUGAGAGGAACCACUUAAGAUUUCUAGCUUUAGAGAGAUCAUUAUCAACAAAAAGGAGGGUGUCAUCUGCAUAUUGUAGACUCACCACACCUCCCUUAUGUGCAGAUGGCGUCAUGCCAGAAAUGAGAUUGAGAGAUGCAGCCUUGGAAAAGAUUUUUGUGAAAACAUCUGCAACAAUGUUGAACAAAAUGGGGGAAAGUGGAUCUCCCUGUCUGAGUCCCCUACUGGUAGAGAAGAAAGGACCAUCAACAUCAUUUAAUCUGAUCCCAAUGGAUCCUCUAAAGAGGAUAUUGUCCAUCCAGGAUAUCCACUUGGGGCAAAAUCCCCUUUGUUGAAGGAUGGUUCUAAGGAACCCAACAUCAACACUAUCAUAAGCUUUUUCAUAGUCUAGUUUAAGCACCAGACCUGGGGUCUUAUUAAGGUGGUUGUCAUGAAUAAUUUCAUGAGCAGCUACCACACUCUCCAAGAUAUAUCUUCCCUUCAGGAAGGCAGUCUGGUUGGGGCUAAUAAUUCUGUUUGCACAGGCACUAAGCCUAGUAGUACAAGCCUUUGAGAAGAUCUUGAAGCUACAGUUAGUAAGAGCAAUUGGUCUGUAUUUUUUGAUACUUGUAGCAUCAGCCUCUUUGGGAAUAAGGGUACUCAUAGCAAAGUUGAGUCUAUAAAGGUCCAAGGUGCUAGAGCAGAAUUUCGAAACUAAAGACAUUACAUCUGUUUUAAUGGUUUCCAAAUUUUUUGAUAGAAUAGGAAGAGGAAACCAUCAGGGCCAGGAUCUCCCUCAGCAUAAGAGCUGAAAACAGUUGCCCUAAUUUCUUCUUCAGAGAAGUCAUGAGUUAGUAGAUCAUUUUCUUUGGAAGAAACCAAAUCAGCAUCAUCCCAGAAAUCAUGAGAAAGGGAGAUAUCUAAAUAAGGUUAAGAGCAAAACAGAGAUUUGUAGUAAGCUACAGCAAUCUCCAUCAUACCCUUGUUAUCAGCGACAGGUCCAUUUCCCCCCUCUAGAGAGAGGAUCAUUUUCUUACUUAGUGUUCCUGUCUCCUUCAAGAAUGUCUUUUUCCCUGGAUCUCUGCCUAGCCUUAAUUUCCUCUCUAUACCAGAGAAGAUUGAGUUCAUUUCUAAUAUCUUUCAUACAUUGGUGUUCUUCAGGAAGGAGGGUUCGAGUUUCAGACAUAAUGUCAAGGCAAGUAUACUCAACAUUAAGAGUUUGCUUAAGCUUUUUAUGGCCAGCUUCAGCAUUAGAGUUCCAACCUCUAAGGAGCUUCCCGAGUCUCCUGAUCUUAAAUCGCCAGAUUUCUAAUGGGUCAGAACAGGGGCAAGGAAGAUUCCAAUUUGUGAUGACCAUUUGUUUGAAAUUUUCCAGUUCCAACCUCCAUUUUUUAAAUCUAAAUGGUCUUUUGGGAGGAGGAGUGUUAUAGCCAAAAUCAAGAAUCAACGGGGUAUGAUCACUGAUAUCUCUGGAUAAAGCAGAGAUAGAGGAAAGGGGGAAAUGUGUUUCCCAACAGGUAGUAACAAAUACUCUAUCAAUAGCAGCCAUAAUGGUAUCCUCUUGAUUGUUCCCCCAAGUGAAUUUUCGAUUAGCCAAUUUAAUCUCCAUCAGGCCAUGUCCAUUGAUCUAAUCAUUAAACUUAGCAGCCCAGCCUUGAUGGAUAUUGCCAUUAUUCUUGUCUGAGGUAAACCUCACCAAAUUAAAGUCACCUCCCACUACAGUGGGCAAUGCAUUAUGGCAGAAUAAUUACAAGAGAAAUAACCCGUAAAGACAUUAUUUUUGGUUCGUAGAGACACUAUAGUUGUCUCUACAUAACUUUAGACACACUUGGUACAAUGCCACAAAACUGUCACUACGGGCAGUGUCGCUAUGUGUGAUGAGACACUAAUAAAACUUCUCUACUGUUUUAGACAUUGCAUAGAGACACUAUACCAUCUCUACGUUCAAUACGACAUUUCGUAAAGACAUUGUAUUGUGUCUUUAUACUUGACACUAUAUUGUCUCUACAUUCAAUGCGACAUUUUGUAAAGACAUUAAAUUGUGUCUCUAUACUCAUGUGCUAAAAAAUAUACAUUGAAAAAAUCAUGUUGAAACCAAUCCUCGAACUCAAGACCUUAAGGAAAACUACACACUCACCUAACCAUCUCAACCUGAUACCAAUUCUUGCGUAUACUUCUAAUGAAAUUAUUAUGAGUAGUCUGCUGCAUGCUUCAAACUUGCUAAGAAUGUCUCUACACAUCAUAAAAUGUGUCUCAAAUAGUGUUUCUAACCAUACUGUAAGGUCAUUUCAUCAAGUAUCUCAAAACCAUGUCUCUACAUGAGUGUUGUGACAAUCUAUUAAAUGCCUAAAAAAUGUCUCUACACCAUAAUGUCUCAACUUGUGUCUCUAUAUUUAAGACAUUAUCCAUAGCACCUCAUAGACUGCCUACAUGAAACUAUGUCUCAAAAUUAUUUCUAGGUAGAGACAAAGAGUAUAUUGCCUCAACGAAAAUGUCUCUACAAGACAAGUCGGGGGAGGUGGUGUGACGAGAGGAAGAAAAGGAAAAAAAAUGUGCCAUUGAUAUGUGGGAUCUAUCAGAAAAUACAGGGAAAUCCAAAAUCUGCUGAUGUUUGGUGCUCGUCAAAAAAGACCAAAGAGAAAAAGUUUUAAUGCAUAUUUUCAAGUGUGCAAUUUAUUUUUGUUGUCAUUUUGUUGUCCCGUUGCAACGCACGGGCAUUUCGGCUAGUUCUAUAAAAAAAGAUUCCCAUGUCACUGCCAGUCUGUAACUGCAGUAGAUAAUCAAGAGUUUUUCCUUUAUCCCUUUUCUGAUUUUUCUUUUUCAAAACAUGCAGGACAUAAUCGACCAGGCAGGAAGCAAAAUCAGAAGUCACAGCUGCACUGCCUUCUACCUAAAAUUAGUUCUAGCACUGCUUGAAUAAAACUAGCUAAGUACCGGUGCGCUGCAACGGAGACACAAAUAUUUCAAUGAUUCAUGUCUCAAAUAUAGAUUACGCAUGUCCAUUGACCCAUCGAUUUUUUUUUCCAAAACCUAAUUAACAAACCGUGGAACUUACCUUAAUUUGUGAAAUUUACAUUGCAUAUGGGUUAAUUUUCUCAAAUAUAAAUUACGCAUUAUUUUUUUAAUUUGUGAAACUUAUUUUGCUAUGGGUUUAAUUUGUGAAACUUACUUUUCUAUGAGCUUAAUUUGUGAAACUUACCUUGGGUACUCGCCUGGACGGUUUUUCUGGACGCAGGAUGUGAAGCGGACGACAUACGAAAAAGUGUGUUAAUCAGGGACGUACAAACUGAGGCUUACGGAAUAGUAAAUAUAAAGAUUACUUGGUCACCAUAUCGAUCACUUGCAGAUUUCUUACUAAUACUGUAUCAUGGUUGUCCACAUGUAUGCAUCUAUCCAAGUGAAUAAAACCUCUGCACUUUCUUCUCAGUUUCAGCUUGCUUUCGUACCAUGUCAAAUCCUUCGUACUCCCUCCGUCCAACAAAAGAUGUCUCAAGUUUGUCAAAAUUUGGAUGUAUCUAGACAUGACUUAGUGUAUAGAUGCAUUCAAAUUUGGUCAGACAUUGGACGGAAGGAGUAUGAUAUUUGUGUCUCUGGAAAUAUUUGAUAUCUAUAUUCGUCAACCUAAUACCAAAACCUGCAAGUGCAAUCAACAAUUACUCUCUUCUCUGCAGAUUAUGUCCAGUCCUAUAACAUACCAAUUACUUCAAGUUAUCUUAAAGAUCUUUAUGCUGGUCACUUCAGGCACAAGACAUAGCCAGACAUCACGAGCAUGCUUCCAUCUGAUCCGCCAUUCUUCACAAUUCAGUACAUCAAAAAAUGGAAAAAGACAUGCCACUGCCAUCGUUCCUGGUGACAAAAAAUAGCAAAUUUCAGAUAGUAGUUUCCAAUAAAUAAACAUAUAUUUCUAUGAAUUAUUUUUAGCAUUUUACAAUAUAUUUGCUUUGUUAUAAUUCAGUACAAAAUUCCGCAGCAACGCGUGAGGUACUAUCUAGUUUUGGAAACACGCCUGCUGCAGUUGAGGCCCUCAACAUGAUUAGUUUGGCUGACAUUGGUUCAGAUUCUUUGCUUGAUGUAUAUCUUCAAGUUAGUGAGGGUAGAACUAGCUUGGGCGUCAUCAAUUACUGUCACCGUGAUCUCCAAACGGCGGAGCGUUGUUUUUUUUUUUAGAGGGGCGGAGUUAGUAAUUAGGCUUGAGAAAAUUUAGAGCAUUUGGCCUCCCUAGAAACUGAAAACUACUCACUCCGUCCCAUAAUAUGGAUGUAUCUAUACCUAAUAAGUGUGUAGAUACAUGUAAUAAAAAGUCACUUAAUACGAGACGGAGGGAGUAUAUUUUUGCACCAAAGCUUCGUGUAAGCUCUACCACCAUCGACGUCUUGUCCUUUCCCAUGCCGUCGGCAUUCCUUUUGCUUCCUAAGAUCACCGUGGCGUCGAUGCCGUCUCCGACAGUGAGGUUCCAUAUGUCGUCGGUCACCCCGAUCGGCUUUCUCCUCGUAGACGUCCUUCUUCACCUACAUGGUGUAGCUUGUGUUGCUGCGCCGAGAAACAUAUGUGAGACCAUCGCUGAUUGAGGAGUGGUUGCCAUGGCCGUCCAACACCACCACUAUAUCCGCAUGAUCGGCCCAAGUAAAUACACACUAAUUUACAAAAUGGGUGAGGAGAAAUCAAUAUAUCGAUCCAAUAUCACAUGAAGUAGCUAGCUCGAAACUUGAACCGAUUGAUCAGAGGCCCGGGUGUAAUCCACUACCGUAGCUGGCAGGCAGUCACUCAUCGCUUUGGAUGAAGCGUCGAACGGUGAACUGCUCGGCCUCUACUGCUUUUGCGACCAGAUGGACGCCUCCCCACUCCUUCGUGUCCGACCCAGGCCCAACAUUUUUAUGGUCCAGUUCUUUUCGGUUUCCUGGACCAGCUUCUCUGAGAAGUUUCCCUUCCCCAAAUUUUUGGAAAAACCGACACCUAAAUUUGAUUAGGCUUCCAAACUAGCUUGAUCUAAGCUACUUCGGAAGUGUAGCUAAAUUUAGGAUGCGGCUUCUCCAGAAAGCUGGGGGAGGACAGCUUCUCCAGAAGCCGAGUUUAGAAGCCAAAAAGAACGCAUCCUAUAUUCGCCCUAGAAAAGCUUAUUGACAUCGGGUUGUCGUUCCACUUGAACAAUCCCUUGGGAGUUACAAUCAUGGACAUGUCACAUUCCAUAAAUACCAUUCGCGCCUGUGGCCUCCACGGACGGCCGAGGUAGGUGUCAACGCCGGCGACGUCGUUGGACGAGAUGACAUUGCAGAAUUGUAACACACAACCGUUUGCAUCCUUUGCCAUCAUGUUACUUUGCCCGUGAGGGACAGCCCGCCGACGAUUUCACACCUUUGGAAGACAGUCGUCGCAAUGCGGAAGAUGAAAUCCACGGUGCCUUCGAUGCGGCAGUCUAGGUAGAAUUGCUUGUUAUUUUAGGGUACAAAAGGUGUCGGCAGUUGAAGUUAGAGGGACGCUGCCCCCCGGCCUCAAUGUUGAAGCCAGCCUCGCUUAUUUUCGGACGAGGGAGUAUUUUUUUAGAUGAACGGCCAAAAUUUGUCGAGGCAAAUGGCUGGUGUGGAGAGCGAACGAUUUGUCUAAUACGGACGGCUGGAUGAUCACGAGGGGUGCGGCACGUACGAGACGAUGGGCGUUCGAUUCCACGUCUGUUGUUGCGCACCUACCCACAAACCCCGCCUGCCCUGUUCCACAGAAGCAGGGAGAGGCGAGGAAAGGACACACCAGCAGAAGAGGAAGAGGAAGGCAAGGCAAAGCCGCCGCCGCCGCUGCGCCUCUCUCAUUGAUCCCUAGCCUUCCGCUCCCCACCACAAGCGACAACCCAACGGCUCCGAGCGUCGUUCCGCUCUCCCUCCGAUGGCCGUGAGCUCGCGGCUGCCCGCCCCUCCCGCGCGCGGUCUCCUCCGCCGCUCGCCGCCGCGUAUCCUCCCUGUCGAGCGCGCGCCGCGACGCCUCGCGCCUGGGCUCUGCGCCGUCUCCGGGAGUCCUGGAACCGGCGGAUCGCCCGUGCCCAGGCGUCCGCCGGCACCGGCAGACGCCGCGGCGGCUUCGCCACCCUCGCCGGCGCCCUCCCCGGCUUCGUCGGCCUCCUCGGCCAUAGAUUUCCUCACCCUCUGCCAUAGCCUCAAGGUACACAACGCGGAUGCUCGCUCGUAGUUGAUCUCCAUUUAAUACGUCCCAUGCGAUGCGAAGGAGUGCAAAGAUAUACAAUUUCGCUAUAGAGAAUGGAUAUGUUGAAACGGUGGAUCAUUGAAAAGUCUCAAGUAUGGGCGCCCAGCUAACAACUUCAUUAUGUGGUGUAUGAACAUGGAUUUGGUUUGAGUUUUCAUGACUUCAUGCCUAUCAUAUCACAUGAUUCUGACGCUUAUUGCAUUGUUCCCUCGUUCUUGUUCUAUGCCACAGACCACUAAAAGGAAAGGGUGGAUAAAUCAUAGCAUAAAAGGUCCCGAAUCUAUUGCUGACCACAUGUAUCGUAUGGCCCUGAUGGCUUUGAUAGCUGAUGACCUACCUGCUGUAAAUCGAGAAAGGUUAGCUUCUCUCAUCGUACAAAGUGCCUAUUUUUCUCAGUUAUUUCCUUUUAAGAUUCACAUUGGAAGAGUAUCAAUUUUAGGCUUCCUUCCCAUCAAUAAUGAACCGCACAUUUUUCUUGAAACAGGUGUAUCAAAAUAGCCAUCGUUCAUGACAUUGCUGAAGGUAGGCCAAAAAACGUACUAUUACUUACGGAUGUUUUUACCUAGAUGCCUGCUAUGUGCACUUAUUGGUUAUGUGUGCUGGAUCCUGUCGGCUCUGUAUUGUUGUCAUGUCGGGCUCUGUAUCCACUCUUUUCUUAGCAUCUCAGUUUUCAUCCAAGCACUAUUUGACAAUACCCACUUUAUUUUAUUAACAGCUAUUGUUGGCGACAUCACUCCGUCUGACGGCAUACCUAAAGCAGAAAAAAGUAGGCGUGAACAAGAAGCUCUAGAUGAAAUGUGUGAAGUUCUUGGUGGUGGACCAACAGGUAUUUCUCCAUUGUGGACAUGGAAUUUCUGUUCAUUAAGGAAUGUUCAAUAACAAUUUGUUACCAUCACUGCAAUUUGCUAUUUUUUAGCUGAGGAGAUUAAGGCGCUGUGGGAAGAAUACGAAAAUAACUCUUCUGUUGAAGCCAAUCUUGUAAAGGAUUUUGAUAAAGUAAGCAUGAUGUUACUUUGAACAUCUUUCCACUUUUUCUAAUGUAUAUUGAUUUGAUUUGACUUGCAUGUUGUCUAAUUUCUAGUAUAUAUCAGGGUUAUCAUUUUUUAUUGAUACAAGUUUUCUUAGUUUGGACACAAUACAAAAUAUUUUCAAGUUUGGUGGAGAAUGCACUACUCAUGAACUUGUUACUACUUCUUACACAAACACUUAUAUAUAAACUGGUUAUUCAUUGUGUUUUUUCUCUGAGCUUGCAUUGACAUUGAAAUAAGUAUACAAAGAUUUUGUUCUUUAUGAUGAAUAGCCUAUUGGCUGAGUCACAGCUUAAAUCGUUCAGUAGGUCCUAAGGAGUGCACAAUCUUACCUCUUGGAUUUCUUAGAGAUAUGCCAAGUUCUAAGACUUUGAAGCAUAUAAGUUCAUAGAUAUUAAUAUUAUUGUUGCAUAAACGGUGUUUCAUGCAAUGUAUUGUUCAUAUGUCUUAUUAUGGUUUACUCUGUUCUACAUUUCUUUUUCCUAUGUACUGUUUGGUUCAGUGGAUUUCACCUGUUCCGUAUUUAUUUUUGUUUCAGGUGGAAAUGAUCCUUCAAGCAUUGGAAUAUGAGAAAGGUAUUAACCUUUUGUUGUAUUUGAUUUUCAUGCAUACAAACAAUGAACUGCUUAGUCAUUUCAAAUAGUUGUCCUGUAUGAUGCCUAGUGUAAAUUGGCUCUUUAGUCUGAAACGACCUGCAUGAGGAAUAACAUGCAUCAAAAUCAUCAUGUUCUCACUACACCUUUUGUAAUCCUCUGCUACUGCUAAUAGUAAUGCCUAGCAAAACUAAUAUAUACCUGGUUUUGGAAAGCUCAUACUUUGGAAUUGGUUGCUAAUAACAUCAAACUACUUGCUUCAUGCUACCUUUUUUUUUGCUUCAGGCACCGGCACCAUGCAAUGAAUCAUUCUUACUUUCCUACCUGCAUAUGUUGCCAUCUUUCUCUCCUGUACAUAUGUGAUGUGCUAAUCCAUUUAUGCUGACUCUCCAUCUUGAAAAUUUGCAGAGCAUGGCAAAGUGCUAGAUGAGUUCUUUCUCUCAACUGCUGGUAGUGUGAUUAAUCAUUGUUGCAAUUGCCAUUGAAGGCACACAAAAAUGUAGGUUCUCCUUUUGUUAAAUAAUACUUUUUAAACAUGCUAUUACAGGGAAGUUCCAAACAGAGAUUGGCAAGAGCUGGGCUGCUGAAGUGAAUUCGAGGAGAACCAAGGGAUGCGGACAGUAGUACGGGCGCUUCAUGUUUGAUUUCUUUACACAGCUUCUACUGAAAUUUCCUGACAUGGCUGGUGUGAUGAAUCGCAGACCUCCAGAUUCAAGUCAACUUCAAGGCAAUCUUAACCUAUUGCCGCAGAUACCAAAGGUUGGCAGGCAAUAACGGGCAGAGCAUUGACGAAAACUCUUCGAUCUAGGUUUGGUUAGAGAGCUCAGUGGGCUGAAAUUUUUACUGAGAAUAGUACGUUCUGAACAUUAUUAUGUAUACUGGUAAGGGAUCCAGGGAAGACAUGCCUUUUGUUCACUGGCGCAAUAAAGAGGAUUAACGCCCUUCAGUCUAAGGGUGAUCUCUCUUGCAGCUCUCUGCCAUGUCACUCUAAUUUUUUGUUUGAUAUUUGAUGCUGCGAAAGUUAGGCAAGGAAUCAUCAAUCAUGAUGAUUAAGUUGCAACGGAAAUGCACAAUUAGCAGAAGAUUUUUUUAAAGCAUUAGCAGAAGAUUCUUAAUCUUCAAUCUUCACUAGUCGUUAGAGAAAUGUGUUUUUGACUCUCUUGCUGGUCUCACACAUUGUUAGAUAGCAAUCGUUAGUCAUUACAGUUACCCUUUUGGGGUUGCUAAUUUAAGGAUAGUGCGGCCUAUCUUCUAGAUAAACCCCUGGAAGCUUCUUCCCUCACGCUCACAGUAACAUUAGCGCCACCUGCUGCAUUUUGAUCAGGCGACACAUUUCAACAAAUUUAGUAAGCUUCUAACUUCGUAACACAAAACUUUCUACAAGAACAUGAUAAACUUUCGACCAACCUACUGAAGAUUCAUUUUCUUCAUAACCAAGCUUCCCACAAUAUAUUCAAACUUUCUGCUGGACCGCAUGAGCUUCCAGUUUCUUCAAAUCAAGCUUUCCCCCAAGAACAAAUCAGCUUUCUACUGAAACACGUGAAGCUUUCAACAUCUCAAACAGCGACAUGGAAUUCUUAUCCAGUAAAAACAAAUAUUGAAGUGUUGAAAGAGAGAAUUCUGACCCCUUUUUUUGUUUUAUAGAUGAUGAAAACACCCCAAGAAUAAUCAACUCUUGCGGGGUUGAUGAAUCCUAAGAGCAUCUAUAACGUGCAUCAAAAUUGCAAAUCUACACAUUUAGACCUCUUCUUGCACGGCAAAGUUUGGACUGUUCGAACAGUCUAAACAUUGUGGUUGCCUAUGAGGCUAUGACGGCAAGUAAUUAAUUGUGCUUCUGAUUUCGGAAUUAGUACCUCGAUGUUGAUCAACUUCUAUGUCAGUAGCUGUCCAGAUUUGUUGGCCAGGUAAAUUUUGGGUUCCACAAAGUUCCAAGCCUACAGGCCCAAGUAUGAGUCUCAUUUCUACCAUAACUUCAAACAUGUCAGAAAAUAAAUCUUAUCUUUCGCAUCUCUCGGAGAAAGAGUUAAAAUGAGUUGCUUUCUGGAACUUAUCCUGUUUCCUGUAGUCAGAUGAGACCUUCAGGAUGGGCUUGGCCAUGAGAGUCUCUAUCCAAGCUUCCAACUUCUGCUAGCCUGUACUCGUUUUUCCGAUUGAACUAUGUCUUACUUCAUUUCUUAUAAUAGAAAUUGGAGGGUUGUAUGUUGUACUCUCUUCUUCAAAAACCAAAAGGGAUUCCACAAGAGGUGAACACAGGAUUCGGUUAAACAAUAGAAAUCACUUCCCAAUUUUCACUUCAUGGCAAACAGAUCACAGCCUGAGAUCUUGACUAAGUUCUACAAUCACGGGCAAAGUUCCAGGAGUUCCUGAUCACUAACUAAAAAUUAUCAUCAGCUCAAUGUCACAAAAAAGGAGUUAUAACAGGUCACUCACAAAAGCUCCCCUUGCUAAACAAAGAUUAUCGUUGGGUUAAACUGUAAAACAUCACCAAAAACAUUUAUAUUCCUUUAAAUGGUGUUGGAGCCAUAACCAUCCUACCUGAACCACCAUCUUAUGCCAGCGUUUAUUGGGUCAUGAAGAAAAGGGGUGUAACUGUGGAUGUAGGGGUUAACUGUUCGGCCAAUUUUAAGCCAGAUAGCUCUGUGGUAACCAGCAGUGAAAGGAGAGUGAUACAUGAGCUUCAGCAACUGCAAUGCCAGAUAACCAGAGUGAGAUUGGAAUAUGCUGAGACGUUGUCUCUAUUGAUACAUAGUAGUAAUAACGUCGAUAGUCACAGAUAAAAGCAACAGAUCACGCAAAUUCAUAGUUGUCCUUAAACAAACAAGUGUUACUUGGACUAAGCAAACAAACACUGAUGCUUCUUGAAACUAGCAAAUGUGCAUGUGCAAAUGUGCGACUUGGACUAAGCAAACAAACACUACAAUGCUUCUUGAAACUAGCAAAUGUGCACGGCAAACGCGCGUUCUCCAGCAUAUAAAAUAGUUCUCCCAAAAUAUACUGCCAGCAGAUUUCAAACUCUCCUUCCCUUCGGACUAUUUUUGAACUUAGUAUUAUGUUUAAUAAUAUUAGCUAGAUAAACCGUUACAAUAUGUCAUAACAAUACAUCGUAUGUGGAUGCGAAUAAGGUUAGUAAUCAUGGUGUCAUGACUAAGGAAUAAGAGAUAGGUUCUGCAAUUCUUCAUAAUAUAAAAAUGGGUUGUGUUGUAGUAUAGGUUAGUCAUAUGGGGUUGUUAAGGAAUUAAAUGUGCAAUAUGCAUAAUUUUUAGAUAUUCAACUUAAUUCUUGAGCAAUUAGAUUAAAUUAAUAGCAAAGAUGGUUUCUGUCAAACCUUAACUCGUACUCCCUCCGUCCCAUAAUUCUUGUCUCAAAUUUGCCCAAAAAUGGAUGUAUCUAUUCCUAAAAAGCGUCUAGAUACAUGUAAUAUUUCGACAAGAACUACGGGACGGAGGGAGUACUUCUUAUAUUAGGAGGGAUAUAUAUAUUCUAAAAGGUAGCUGACAGUACCAGGUUAGCCAUGCAGAAGCAACAAUUAUUUAGACCAAAAAACAUUGUCUAGCUUUAUUAACAAGCAGGAGUUUUGCAUCCUAAGAUGCUGGGGUUACUAAUUCCUAGCUUUACAACUUGCAGAACAAAAGGCAUGUCCUUAUUGUAGGACCAACCCGGCAACUGAGCUCAACACAAUAGAAGAAGAAACGAUCGUUGCCUAGAUCCUUUUCUAAAUGAAAAUGGAAUAUAGUAGCGUUUACUCAGUUGGUGGCUUGGUGCAGCCAUUGGAGCAUUUGCUUUGCUGCUCUCUUGAGAUUACUGAGAGCCAUCAAGCCAUUGGAGAUUAUAUUUGUCAUGCAUGCACCCAUACAUGAGCUGCUCAAAGCCCAGGCUCCAGGAGCAUAGGCAACAGGAGACAUGCCUUAGCACAAGGUAGAGCUGUUCUAUUUUAGUUAUUUCCUCUCAAUUAACAAUUGAGCCUACCCCAACUUGCUUGGGACAAAAGGCUUAGUUGUUGUUGUUGCCUCUCAAUUAACAAUUGAUUGAAUAUUUUCCUUCGUUUCAAGAACCUCAAAAGGACAGGGUUGUCCUGCUUUCAAUAAAGAAGAAUGGAAUGGCCCAUUGAUCCAAUAGUUUCCUGUUGUUAGGAUUUCAUGUAAUCCGUCUCUCCUGUAUAGAAGGACUUGCACAUGAGGAAUAACCAAACAAGAAAUAAACCAAUCUAAUCCAGAAUCUCCUUCCUUUGGGUCCUCCCUGAGCCUGAGGCAUAGCUGCGGCCAUGGCGCCACUGCCCCUCUUGAGGUCCAGGCCAGUAUAGCAGUAUCAUAGCAAGCUACCACGUCUAUACCAAUAUUGGUGUUAUGCAGGUCUUUAGGAAUGAGCUACAAAAUUAAGUGAUACUCCCUCUGUCCCAUAUUAAGUGACGAAAUAUUACAUGUAUCUAGAUGCUUUUUGAGUAUAGAUACAUCCAUAUUUGGGCAAAUUUGAGUCACUUAAUAUGAGACGGAGGGAGUACGUUUCUAGUUUGUUGUCAAAUUCAGUGAGCACUUGUUAUGGUCAAAACUUAUACGUCAAUCGGGGUCAGCCAUGACGAGGAUUGAACACUACUAUUGUGAUUUUACAGACCAUGGUGUAAUAUGUGAGAAAGUCAACAUUUCAGUUUAUAGUAAACAAGAAGUAGAUCAUUAGGAGAAGCAAAUCAAUGUUUAUUAUAAACUAACCUGCCAGUACAUGAAUGUUUGCAUAGCAUUACGUUUUUUCCUGCACAAGUAAAAAAACAGUAAGAACUUGGAAUUAAGUGGAGGAGGGGAAAUGAGAAAUUAACAAGGCUAGGAUCUACUGACGAGAACAGGGAUAAGAUCAAAAGAAAGCCCAACAAAAUCUCUGCAUUUGCACACAGAAAGUUUACUGCAGUUGUGUUUGUCUCAACCCAUGUACAAAGUGGCUCCAAGUAUGCCCUGCAAAUUAACAACAAAAUUGUUAUAAUCAUGUACCAUCAUGUUCAACAAUAAAAAUAUUGCAAGCCGUUAGGAGCAUUCAGUUCACAGAAAAUGAUCACUCUGUUUUUAUCAGCUUGUUACCAUGCAAAUUUUCAUACGAAUAAAUCAUUUAUGUUCCUUUUUCAGGUAACCAUCAGGAGUUCUGGCUAUUCAUUAAGCAGAAAAAGAACGUAUCCAGUUUAUGAGGGAGACUGGAUCACUGGACCCAAAAACCUCACGAUCAUUUCUGUUUUAUGUUUUAUAUGCAUGGAUUAGGGUUUUCUCAACUGUUCUGUUCGUAGUACCAUGGAAAGGCCAUGGAGAGCACCAUUAUGACACAUUUAGGUUGCAAACCCAGAUAGAUGGAAGUAACAACAAAAGAAGCAGACAGCAACGUAAAUGAUGAAUAGCAUGCAUUGAUAUGCAUAGUCAGCAAGACAUUUUGUUGCUACAAAUCUGUCAAGUUUAUUUACCUGUACAGAGAGGAAUUAGUAAAAUGGCGCCGUAGAAAUCUGGCCACAUGUUCGAGUGCCCAACAAAUUACCGGUACCAAAACAACUGCCAGAAAAGUGUAUCUCAUCAUGCAUACAGAAAAUGAGAUGUAUGGGUACUGGGUAGUAACACGGAAUUUCAUACAGAAGAUAAAUAAAUGAAGAUAAAUACUUCAUAUGCUUACGCUUAAAGUGUAGUUUAGACGUAACAAACAUAAGGCAGUACAUGAAUGGUAUAAAAUCCUUCGAUGAAGUUACAUGGUGACACCAGACCUGAACAGCCUGUGUGUUUCCUGCUCCGGGUAGCUGACAGGAAGGGGAAAUGGUAAUUAAUUUCUGCAAGAUGUCUAAGUGCUAAUAGUAAAAUAGCAAUUACAGUUCUCAGUUUCAUGUUACCGACCCCAUAAAGAGCAAAUAAAGCAUAACCUGUGGUACAGGUUGUGCCAAGAAGUGACAAACGAUAUCCCUUGUAUUGCAGUUGCUGGGUUGCCAGUGGAAGGAUGCCAAUCAACGCAACAAUAAGAACCUGUUGGAAAAAGAAAAACAUGUAUGAUAAAGAUAAGCGACUAUUUAUUAGCUAAAUUAUUUCGCAGAUAUCAACAAAGAAAAAACUGCCUCAUUGCUUGCUUACUGUUGUAAUAUAAUAUGAUCAAUUAAUACUGACCAUCCAUUUAUUUAUGAGGAAUUUUGAAACUAAACUCCAUUAGGAAAAAGAGGGGUUUAGAUGAAAGUAUUCUCAUGAAUGCCAGCUUGCAGGGUUGGCUAAAUUAAAAUAUCCUUGGACUAGCAGUUCAUCUGAUUGAUAUCACUUCCACAACUUAGCUGCUGUUUGACACUCUGUUCAACUAUGCUUAAACAUUGUUAUCUGGUGGAGAAGCAAAUUGAGAUGGAUCUGGCACUCCAACACAUGCAUCAAUUGAGACAAUACUAAGAUCUUCAGAAAGGAUUUGUUUCAACUACAGAAAAAUACCAUGUGAUACAGUAAUUGCUGACAAAAAAUCUAUGUUCAGACAUUUACCCAAGCAUUAACAGAAAAAUGUAACGACCGCUUAUCCAACUGCAAUGAAAGUCUGCUUCUUGCUGGUCCAGCAGAAUCAGUCCCUAUGAAAUUCAUGGAGAUCAAAUUGUCAGAUGAGAAAGGCUACAAAAUACAAAUAAGGUGUCCACUGUAGAGAGACACAACAAUAUGCUUAUUAUCACCUGGAUCAUGAGGUCUUGCAUUAUCAUUAGCUGUUGUAGAUUCCCCCUCCGAUGGCGCUGGGAGCUGAGAAGAGCUGGCUGAUGACAUUCCUUCAAAAACAAAAUCAGGAUCCUAUAACCAAACUCGGCAUAAGAAACAAACCUAAGGCCUCAUAGAACCACGGUAUGCAUAUCCAAAUAAAAAUAGACCGGGGAAAGGAGAUAGAAAAAUUAUAUUAAGCCAAUCAACAUCACAGCUUUAACAUCAAUAGCAUGUUUAAAAAGUAAGGAGGUUUGUGUAAAAUAACAUUGGAUAUCAAUGACUUGACUUGAUUGAAAGAAACUAGAUAUACAGAAAAUGUUGCCGUAAAGGUUCAUCCUAAGUUUCGUAGAGAAAAUGUGUGAUACACUGAUUUACAGUCACAUAGUCCUAAAACUAAUACUAAAACGCUACUAUAAAACUUUAAUUAAUUGACCCUGCUCACUGUUUCAUAUUGCCAUAUUUUAAUCCAUUCAUUUCCAUUUACAUUUUUCAUAAUAGUAUAUACAAUGUUCUAACUAGCACACUGACAGAAGUCACAUAGUCAAAAUGGCACGUAUCAGAAUCACUCAAACAGGCACUAACAGAGCAAAAACAGAAAUUCUACUCUCUUGCUGAAAUGUUUGAUUUCACAAAAUGACAAUAUGUUUGCUUCAACAAUAUGUUGCAAGGAUGUACAGUCAGUCAGUCACACCCAACUCCCCCCCGCAAAAAAAAAAAGUCACACCCAACUCCCAUGCAGAGCUAGUUAGCUGGACUAUCUAUAGGACACAUUUUCAACGAAUGAAAUCAAAUUGGAAAACAUUCAAUUUCAGCGGCUGCGGUUUUGUACUGGACAAUUUGAAGAGCGAGCGAGCUACAGCUAGAGUUAGCUCGGAAAAAUAUCGCUGAGGCAAGACUGCGCUGAAUUAAUUCAGCAAAAGAAAGGGACAAAUCUCAAGUUCCUUCUCCACAGGCUCAAAACCGGCCAAAGAGGAAGAGUAAAGCGCAGAGAAGUGAGAAUCUUGAGAGUCCCUGACCAAUCCCUUGAGAAAUUAGGCACGGCUUAGUAUUACAGCACUCGACCCUGCAAUUUCGGUCAAGAUUCCCCUCCCACAUCCUCAUCGUCUUCAUCUUACAACAAAACUGAAACUUUUUUGCUUCCUUCAGGCUUAUGUGGCGGGCGCGGCAGCAAGAGGUGAGGUUGUGCGCAUUGCGGGGAGACAAAUCGGGUUUGCGAAUUAGCAAAGUCAAACGAAGUACUGCUCAACUACAGAACAAGAAGUUGCAGAACACGAAGGGAGAUACUAGUAGUAAUGAGCAGCAGGGGUAAAACCUAACCUGCGUAAAAUAAUCUUGGCCCGCUUGGAAUGGAGACAAUCACUGGUUCCGAUACGACCCCGGCAAGGAGAGGGAGAGCCCUAGUACUCCUCCUCGAAUCUAAACUUGGCAAUCUCCGACGCAAAGGCGCACGCAGCAGCACAGAGACAGAGGGAGAAGACUGACUGACUUGUUUCAGUAUCGCCUCCUUUCCUUUCCGUCCUCUCUCGGCUCUGAUUUUUCUUUUUCUGACAGCAGCUCUGAUUUUUGUUUUGCAAUGCAGACCGAUUGUUAUCUCGUUAUGACGAACGCCCACUAACCCACGCGUCACCGAAAGCGACCGAGGGGCCCCGCGAUUAUGGAUUGACGGUUCAGGGGCGAGAUCGCAAAAUUGGGGGUUUCUGUGGUGGCAAGAUUCCCGGAAGCGAGAGGAUAAAACGAAGGGAAGGGAAAGUUCGGGCAGGGAGCAGCGAAAGCAACCGCACCAGAUCUAUCCGAAGGAUGCUUCUUGAGUUUUCAAUAUCUGUAGAAUACUUCCUCUGUCGUCUCGCUCAAAUUCGUUUAAAUGUAGAUUUAUUUAUACCCAAAAAAUAUUAAUAUUUUGUCGUUUAAUAUGAAAUGGGAGGGAGUAGUGUUGUCAAAUUUGCAUGAUACAUUUACGAUUUUGCUAUUGAGAAGUUGUCUGAUUUUUAGUUAGGAAUCAGUCGAGUGAUUGACCGAAUCCAACGACAGCAUGUGAGAGAUUGGAGUGUGGAGAUGACAUUCAGAUCUUAAUAUAACGGCCAUGAUACGUCGACUGCGAUUUAAAAUCAUUUGCUUAAAAAACAGACGACUGAAAAAUAGUCACACCAUAUAUUUUAAUGUGAGAGGAGACAACAUGUAAUUUUCUCACAUCUCAUUGGACAACCAACAUACAACCUAUUAAAAUAUUUGUAUGAUAAGUUGUUGGAUAUUUUAAGCAUCACACAAGAUAUUAUACAUGUCUUGACUAGUGAAACAUACCAACCCACCAACAGCUGGGUAUUCAUGAGCCACGAAAAAUGACCAACAAAACAUUAUCGCCAUUGACCUUGUGCAUAGAUAAAUGAAAGAAAAGAAAUAAAACACUAACUAAGUACUCCCUCCGUCCCAUAUUAAGUGACUUUCUAUUACACUACGUCUGGAUGUAUGUAUUCAGGCAUGGAAUUGGGAAUUGGAAUUAGACAGCCUUCAAUUCCAGCGUUUGGAUGUUUAUAGGAUUCACCCGUAGAAUUCGCCCACGAUUCCAAACGGUAUCGCGGAGACGCUCUCGCUUCACAAGUCAAUUCGGAGCUCCCUCGCUCCGUAUUGGGCAGAAUUUGGCCCCACGCUCAUCCCGCAAAGCAACUUACCGGUUCAGCCUCCCUCAAAGAAAGAAAGGAGAACAGAAAGACCCAAACCAGCGGGAGGAGGCGGGAGGUUGCCGGUGGCGCAGGUUAGUCCCAGCACGCACGCAGAGCUCCGACCGGCCCUCCUCCCAGCACGCACGCUGAGCUCCGGCGCCGCCACCUCUUCCUCGCGUCGAAGGUCCGCCACCCCCGCUCCUCCUUGCAGGCAGAAGUCCGUUGUCACCACCUCUCUCCGCGGAGAGCCUCCGUCGCCGCCUGAGCGCCCCAUCUCGCAUCAUCCCCCUGCAGAGAUCCGCCGCCGCCUGAGCCCAACGGCCGAAGACCCACCCGUGCGGCCGUGCGCCUUGCCCCAUCCCCCUCUCGCCCCCAACCUCCCUACGCAUAGAGGUUCGCCGCCGCUUGAGUUCCCCUUCUCGCCUUGGCCGCAUCCCCUUCGACCUCUCCUCCUUAUUUCCUCCCAUGGCCGGAUUCUCCUAGCCCUUUCCUCUUUCAGUCCCCUCCAAUGGAGGAGCACAAGAACCCUAAUUUUCAGUUUACUACUAAUCCCCAAUUUCUUGGGCAGAUCUUACCGUUCUAUUUCGUUAUUUUUUCAGGUUGUUCUGUGAGCUCCUCUGUCAGUCUGUCUGAUUGAUCAGUACUUCAGUAGCAUAUUGCUUCCUAGUCAUAUAAAUGGGUGAUUUCUUGGGCCAACAUGGUGGCAAUUUUUGUUGCUGAAGAUCAUCGUUCAGUUUUGUGGUUCACAUGUUGGAAUAGCAGUUUUCAUGCAUAGGAAAUUACACCACGGGUCCAUGAACUUGACAGCGAUGUUCAGUUUCAUCCAUUAACUUGAAAACUUCUAAAAUGACUCACUAAACUUGACAGCUUUACUCAUUUUAGUCCAAAUGGCCAGAUUCGGGCAAAAUUCGGUCAUGAUGGCAUGUGACGUGGGUCGGGCCGUUCGAGUAGACGCCGCCGAACCCAUCGACGGAGCCAUUCACAUGGACACCACGUAUGCCGGCCCGAAGUGGGUUCACCGGCGAGGGCAGCGUCUCCCCAUUCUAGAGAUUCGAGGGGGUUAAACAGAAAAGGUCCAUAACCAAAAAAUUGUGAAAAGCCCCCUCACACGCCGGCCAGGUCCAGUGGUCCACGACACAUGCCAGCGUGGCCGAAUUUCAUCUGAUUUUGGCCAUUUGGACUAAAAUGAACAAAGCUGCCAAGUUUAGUGAGUCAUUUGAACAGUUUCCAAGCUAAUGAAUGAAACUGAACAUUGCUGCCAAGUUCAUGGACCUGCAGUGUAAUUUCCUCUUUCAUGCAUCUAUAUUCUAUCGUGUAAUUGUUCUUCACAGUUUCCAUUUGUUUAUAAUAUAAUCAGUGGCAUCCAAGUUAUACAUUUGGGUCAUUUUCACCCCAAGUCAUUGCGGUACAGGCUCCUUUUUUCUACAUUUUUAUGUGUAUAAUUUUCAGUCCGGUUGUGAUCCAUGUAACUCUCCGAGAUGAUGAAUCAGAAUUCCUAUAAUUGUUAUAGCGUAUUUUUAUUUUGAAAGAUGUAUAGAAAAGUUAAAGCUUCAUACUAAUAUACAUGUGCAAUUCCUCACUUUGUCCAUCCAAACAUGAAUUGGAAUUGGUGCCCUCCUUGAAUCCCAUGAGCCAAUUCAAUGAGCAACCAAUGAAAUUGGAAUUAAGGUUCAAUUCAGAUUCCUUGUUGAAUUGGACUUCCAGCCCAAUUCAAUUCCUUGCUUCCCAAUAUCUACAUCCAAACAAAGCCUUACAUGUAUCUAGACACCUUUUAGGUAUAGAUACAUUCAUAUUUGGGCAAUUUGAGUCACUUAAUAUGGGACGGAGGGAGUAUAAGAAAGGUAGUUCCAAAGGGCCUUCUACGAGGAAAGCAUGAAGUCAUCUCAAAAGAAAAAGGUGGCAUGAAGAACCUCAACAAAAUUGAGGACUUGUGAUGUCAUUUUUAGCAGCAAACCCCAAUUGUGAUCCACUAGAAAGAUAUGAAAAGAAACAGAUACAAAUGACCUUACCCAUUUAAAGAGCUCGCUCGUUUCGUGGUUAGUAUUGCCCUAAAUAAUCUUAGGUAUACCACAAUUGUCAUAAAAAAUAUGACAAACAAAUAGAAAAUCACAAGGAUUGUAAGAAUUGAGUAAAUAACAUGUAGACCAAAGAAAAAAGGUGGCCAACAAAAGCAAAUAAGACAUAUCCAACGUGUUACGACACAUAUUAAAAUUAUUGUACUACGCUCUGUAAGAGCAUCUCCAAUGAGCUAUCCUAAAGAUAUCCCAAAUGUCUUAUUUAGGACAAAAGGACAUAUUGUCCCAAAAAUCAACUCCCAAUGGGCUACCCCAAACGGACAAUAUGUCAUAGAUGACCGGUCAUAUCCCACAAAGUUGCCCCAAAUUUGGGAGAGAAAUGGGUGUCCGGUUGAGCUCUUUGUCCGCCCUGGCUCACACCAAUUCCUCUUUUUUUUUCCUUUUCCCAGGCGAGCAUGCUCCCUUCGUCCAGUAUUCUCGAUUACCCCGUCGCCUCAUUGCCCUAGCCGCAGCCUCCAUGGACGGCACACGGAGGCCGCAUCCUGUUGCCUCCCCGUGCCCUAGCAGGCUAGCCGCCAUGCUCCAUCCGCAGCCAAGGCGGCCGUGGGGUUGGGGUCGAGCUUGGCGGCCGUGACCUGGACGAGCUCGAUGAUGAGACGCUUCAUGUGCAGUGUGAAGUUGCGGGCGCCGCGUAGGUCGGCAAGGACAAGUUCCAUCUUGGUGAGUUGAAAGGGAGGAGCCUACUCGUCGUCAACGGCCGCUGCGACCUAUAUGCAUCAGAGGUUGGGGUUUACAAGCCGUGGGCCAAAUUUGAAGCUAUCUUAUGUGAGACAUGGUGAUUUCUGGAGCAAUGAAGCUAGCUGGAUUGGUAGAGUUCUUAUCUAUAAUCUCUAUAAUGUUCAUCCCUACUAAAAGUCAUUUAUAUUUGCAAGCUGAACAUGCAAGGUGUCCGCAUCAUCAAAUUGAUCUCCACUAAGCACAACAUGCAAAAUGUCCACAUCAUUAAAUUGGUUCCUACUAAUUCAAAUCAUGUGCAUGCAAAAUGUCUAUAUCACCAUACAUAGCAUAUGUUGCAGCCCCACUAGCAAUACAUUUUGGUGGCCCAUUCGACGAUUCAACAUUUUAGCUCCUAAAACUUUUCAUCUUCACUUUUUUAUAAUUAAUUCACCAAUUACCCAUAUUUUCAUGAUAUGUAUGUUGAUCUUUUUAAGAAUGUUCAAUAUACAGGUUUUUGAAACUUCUCUUUUCGGUUCUCCGAAGUUUUUAUGUACAUCAAAAUUAAUCUACGUUUUGCGGCAUAUAUGUUAUGGAUGAUAAAUCCGUUUAGCCUGUGAUAUUGAUAUUGUUUUUGCAUUUGAUCAUAUUAUUAUCAUUUGUUUACUAACAUCACGUCCAUAUGUGCAAAUAGAAAUUGUCCGCCACAAAGUGCGGGGAAUCACCUAGUUGAUAAAGCAAUCCAUCCACGUAUUUACUGUAGUUCCUUCAUCUUCUUCAGGUUUAGCUGCUACUACUAUAUAUGGGAAUCUCCCCUUCUUGAUUAAUUUUUCUUUCGUCGCACCUAAUGGUGAGAAAUUUGCCUACAUUUUCAUAGUCCGUAUGAUACAUAUAAUGCAUGAUGUAGUUUUUGGCUUAAUUUGAAGUUGCAUAUUUUAACUAGUGCAUUUUUUAAGCUUCACUUCAGAUAAUGGGAUUCAGUUUAGAAAAUCAGUUUGGUUAACUAGCAGCCCGUGCAAGCUUUGGGGAGAGAAAUUUGGAGGACGUUGUUGGGUGAUGAGACGGACACAUGUCCACUUGCUUUCCCAAACGGACAAAAAUAGGACAUUUAGGAGCAAAAUUUGGGAUUUUUUUGGCAAACAGAGGGCAGCCCCCUCCGGUUUCAUUAAAGGAAACCAUGUGUCUGUUAAUACAACUUAAAUAGAUCGCAUCGAGCAACAAACCCAGAAACAAAAGCACCGAGUUAGUCUCGACCUCUUUCGUUUUGUAAAACUAGGCAGCGGCAACAACUAUUACCCUCCACACACACUCAACACCUGACACCAGCUUGGGGAAUUCAGGACGAAGUUCAUGAUCUCACGUACAGAAACCUCCACACAGACUCUGAAGCCUCAAGAUGUCAGUGGAAGAGUAACUGACACUUCAACCGUGCUUUGCCUUAGUCAAAAUCAACUCUGCAGAAGUUCCAUGGAUGUCCCAUUGAAGAUGUUCUAACCAAACUAAAAUGAGUUGCCAUGUUGCUUUGGUGUCCAAUCGGACAUGUAGUACGUUGCUCUCCUAGCAAGCUGUUGUUGUUUGCUCUUUGAUGUAAGUUAAACAUAGGUCUAUGCACGAUGGUCCGUCAGUUCAGCGUGACAUGGCAAACUCUAGUUGCCUCUUUAUAAAAGUCAGAACAGGUGCCACGGCACUUUUGGCCGCCCUGGUGGUCACAAUGAGGCUUUUCUGUACGCCUGUACACGACGCUUGGACGAAAAGGAACGGACGGAGGAAACAGCCACCAAGUCAAUGAGUCAAUACCCACUAAUCCCCUCCUUAAAGCAAAAACUGGAGCCAAACUACUCUGCAGAAAACAAUUGCAUACACCGAUCGUCAUGCACAUCGAUUGACGAAGCACCAACUCCACAUCCCAAGUUCGGAACCAACCUUGCAUUCCAACAACUCAAACCCUUGGCUAGAUCGAUCGAAACAGACAGGUUGGUCUCAGCCAAAGCUUAGCCGCCAUGGCCAUGGCAUCCCCAAACAACAAAGCGCUGGAGCGGUACAAGAGCGCCGUGACGGCGGCCGCGUCCGUCAUGGGUGCGGCCAUGCUGCUGCGCCGGGUUGUCGCCGACUUCCUCCCGGCGGGCACGUCCCUCGGCGCGCUGCUCCUCCUGCCCCCCGCCUCCGCCCGGCGCCACGCCGUGCUCAUCGAGGAAUUCGACGGCGCCCUAUACAACCGCGUCUUCCUGGCGGCCAAGGCGUACGUCUCCACGCUCCUGGCCGCGGCGCCGUCGUCCGUGCCGCUGAUGAAGGCCAGCCUGCCGCGCGGGUCCGGCGCGGACCAGCGCGUCCUGCUCGCCCUCCGCCCCGGCACGGCCGUCGUCGACGUCUUCGGCGGGGCCAAGCUCACGUGGCGCCUCAGCAGGCAGCAGGGCAGGCGCGGGGAGGACGGCGGCACGCGCGAGGCGUUCAAGCUCAGCUUCGACGCGCAGCACAAGGACAUGGUGCUCGGCGCGUACCUGCCGGCCGUCAUGGCGCGCGUCGAGGCCAUGUCGCAGGGGCAGAGGCAGCCCAGGCUCUACAGCAACGAGUGGGGCAAGUGGCGCGCCGUGAGGCUCCGCAACGCCUCCACGCUGGCCACGGUGGCCAUGGACGCCGAGCUGCGGCAGGCCGUGGUGGAGGACCUGGACAGGUUCUUGACGCGGAAGGAGUACUACCGGCAGACGGGGAGGGCGUGGAAGAGGGGGUACCUCAUCCACGGGCCGCCCGGCACCGGCAAGUCCAGCCUGGUCGCCGCGAUCUCCAACCACCUCCAUUUCGACGUGUAUGACCUGGAUGUCGGUGGCGUCAGGAACAACACCGAGCUGAGGAAACUGCUGAUUCGGAUGAAGAACAGGUCCAUAUUGCUGGUGGAGGAUGUCGACUGCGCUCUGGCGACGGCGCCGCGGAGAGAAGGGGAUGGAGGCUCCGAUGGGAGCAGCCUGGCCCCGGCUGCGUCCAAGAAUCACAAGGUUAGUUAUUACUACUAAUCCAACGCAUACUGCAAGUUAAUUACAACAGUUUAGUCGACAUGCGAAACAGUAAAGCGUCUCAUUUUGAGCACAAUCUUUUUGGAUUGCUUCUUGAAGAAGGUAAGCUUUCCAUGAGCAUGAAGGUAAUAAAGUCAUGCAAGUGAUGCAAGUGCCAACAAUCAUCAUAAGACACUUCAUAAAGAAACGUUCUGUACCGAAGCUUUUAUAAAAUCUGGCAAGUGCGCACAUGCAGUGCGUUGUGCAUACGCAUGUGCUUGCAGAUCAGAACAUUGCGCGAUCAUUUUUCUUAGGAGAACAUUGCACAAUCAGACUACUUCGUGGAGUAUAAAACUAUUUGCUUUAGUCCUUCGGAGUACAAUUUUUACAGCAUCUAAGCAGGUCACGGUCUCGCAUCCCUCGCUCAACACUAGGCACCGUCAAAACUCUGUACCUUAACUACUGUACUGUUGUUUGUCCAACAAUAGCAGUUACCACUUCAUUGCUUUUUUGGACCGUAAAGCUGGGCACGACUCAUGCUUCUUUAAUUUAACUGACCAGAUGCGAUGCUUAGCUUGUCAUCGUCAGUUCAUUCAGCUGUCGCUCACCGUAAACAUGCGCGCGAUGCCGAUGCAGGUCACUCUGUCGGGACUGCUCAACAUGGUGGACGGCCUGUGGUCCAGCAGCGGGCACGAGCGGAUCCUCGUCUUCACCACGAACCACAAGGACCGGCUGGACCCGGCGCUGCUCCGUCCGGGCCGGAUGGACAUGCACAUCCACAUGGGCUACUGCGGCUUCGUCGCCUUCAGGGAGCUCGCGGCCAACUACCACGGCGUUGACGACCACCACCCGCUCUUCCCGGAGAUCGAGGCGCUGCUGCGUGAGGUGGAGGUGGCGCCGGCCGAGGUCGCGGAGAGGCUGCUCAUGACCGACGCCGCCGACGCCGCCGUGGAGAUGGUCGCGAAGCUGCUGAGGGACAGGAAGGCCGGCACCGGGGAAGAAGACGGCGCCGGCGGGUACGUCAAGCAGAAGCUCCACGUAGGGGGGCCUCGGCGCCCGCGUCGCUUGGCCCCGGCGCCGGCGCCCCGUCGAGGCGGCGUGGGUGCUGCCAGUGCCAGGCGGCCCGUGCUUGGCGAGGAAAUGGGCGGUUCCUCGCGACGAGGACAGGGGCGUGGAUCAGGGACAGGGCGGCAUGGACGAGGACGGGGGCGGCGGUAGACAAAAGAUUCAAAACGUACUCCACUACCGAACUUGACCAACUCUGCCACGGUAAUUCGAAAAUUGUAAACCAUGGAUGUUGCGGAGUAUGGAAAAUACUACUAGUAGCAAGUAAAUAAAAGGACAUGCUGGGUUGGCCGGCCCUCGGAACACGCCCUGGUGUAUCGGCCGGCGAGGAGUACGACAGCUGCGAGCCAGCCGUGUUGUGUCACUUCCCAAAAUCACUUCGGUUGUAACGCGUGGCGCUGUCACACGUAUCACGGCCCCACGUUGCCGGACGCGGACGGCAACGGCGGUUCUCCGCCGCAGCCCAGAGCCAGCUACUCCGCGCGGGGGGCUGUCUCCGUGGACCGCAGAACAAAGGAGCCAGCUCUAGAAGAACCUGCAAAGAUUCCCCUGCGCCACAAAUCAUACGCAGUUUUUGGCACCACCCUUGUUGCGCGGUGCGGCCCUACCACGCGGCGCCCAACUCACCAACCAUUUUAGCCCAUGCACGGACUCUUGCAUCGGCGAGAGCCAUUAGGUACACUCUUUCGAGUUUAUUAGACUUAUCAUUUUAUUUUCGAAAAACAAAAGAGAUUCUGAGGUGUGAUUUCUUGUGCUGCUGAAACACUGGAGAGAAUUGCGUGAUUGGCUCACCGCAGCCUUGCGUGUAUCACUGAGCUGAGCACACAUCUUUUCGGAAGCGAUGUAUACUCUGCGCUGUGAGCACAACGCACGAUGAGGGUAAAACUUGCAAGCCUCAUGUGAGUAUGUGACGCUUUUUUUUAUUAUAAUUGAAGUCUCAUGUGAAGAACAAAUCACCAUCCGGUUA